AACAAAUAAAAAUACCAUUGAUAAUUAGGUUACGCUAGAUAAUGAUUUUAGGAAGUGUUUUUAAUCUUUCUAAUACUUGAAAAAUAACAACAGUGGUUUUAGGAAACGUUUCUAGCUUUUUUGGUGGACAAUUGCAAAUUAAAAAAUAAAUAUGUAAAUGGUACCAAUUUUUCUAAAAGCUUUAUUGCAGACUGCUUUAUUGCAGUAAUAUGCCCAAAGUCCACACCAGAAGAGUUACAACCAGACCCUCUUAUUAUACCAUGUUUGUUACAAUGAGGGAAUUGAACAUCAUGAAUCGUCAUUCAAGCAAGGAAAUCAAAGGUUGACAGCUUAUUCUGUUUCUAUAUUUCCCCACUAGAAUCGUGCUUGAAGGUAUUCAACCACCCUCUUGUCCAACUGGAAGGCCCUUGCCAGGAAAUCAGGAUUGAUGGGUGGAUUUGAUCCAAACAUUGAACUGGCUAUGGUGACUAUACCUGGAUUUUGGCUGUUAAAAGCGGCAAUGGCUACUGCAUUAGUGUGCCCAAUGUUGACUUGGAAGUGAAUGAGACUGAAAGGGAACACAAAAACAUCCCCCUUGUUCAGGACUUUGCUAACGAAGCGGUGUUCAGGGUUGGAUGUGAUAAAGCCAACAAAGAGUGUUCCCUCCAAGACAACGAGGAUCUCACUGGCACGAGGGUGAAAGUGAGGAGGGUUUUGACCAUUAGGUUCAUAAUCGAUACGAGCCACUGACACCCCAAGAGCGUUUUCUCCUGGUAAUUGAUCAACAUUUAUAAGAUUGACAAUUGAGCCCACAUAAUUUGAUGUGUUUCCUGGAAUAUUCAGCCCUUGAUACAAGAAAUCCUCGGCCACGGUCAGGUUUGGGUUCUUGCAGAACUUCCCAUUUACAAAUACUGCAUGAAGAAGGAAAAAAGAAAAGAUAUAUCAUUAGUAUCGAACCAUACUCACCAUAUCAAUAAAAAGAGAAGUACUGAAAAUAGCUAUAAGAUCAUUGGUUACUAUAGAAAUACCAGCAUUCUUGGGCUCAUCAACGGCAACACAGGUGUCUUCCAGUGGGCUUGGAUCAUAGGCAGAGGCAAGAAAGGAAGCCAAUGCCAUGAAGGCCACGGUUACCAGGAAACUAACGCUUUUCUUCAUUGUUAGAGUACUGUCUCCAACAAUCACAAUAUUUAUCUUUAGGCGGGGAUAAGAAAUUUAGCAUGGAAAAGAUGUUAAUUUAUAGACCAGAGUCGGUGAGUUAGUCUUUGCAUAAACUCACCAAGUCUUCAAUGGGAAGUUUUUUCUUCUUUCUUUUUUCACUUUCGAGGACAAGCGGUUGCACCAAUACAUGUUGAUUUACGUAGGAUUAGUCAGUAUACAGAUCUUAACCAGAAUAUAAAGCAAUGUACAAUCAGGUGGAGGCAGGUCCAAUUUAAUAUCAAUCUGUAUGAUCCAUACGUUUACAUAUAUAGUAGAGCUUUCUGCUCUUUUAGUAGUGUAUGGACAAGCAAAUAGAAGAUUACAGAGUAGGUGCCAGCUUGGACUAUACAAUGACCCACCCCUAUCAAACAUGGUUACUCCAUGAGACUUGUGUAGGUUCAGUUUAAUGAGUAUUUAUAUAGCUUAAUUCACCAUUCGAAGUGUUGAGAGAUUGGCUGAUGAGAUUGAAUAUGUAGCCAAGUUCUGAGUUUCUAGCUCAUGUGCCUUCCACUGAGUGAAAAGUCCUUGGAUAAGCUCUGGGGUUGCCUCAGUUCAAUGAAAAAUUGGGAUAAAUUCAAAGACUUUCUGCUAUAUGCUCACUAGGCUUUCCUCAGUUACAAAAGCUUUGACUAUGAUUUUUAUGCUUGCAGCCUUCCCUGUCUGAGCGGUUGGCUCAAAAGUUACUACUACAAUUAUUAUGGUUUGUGAGAGAAAGAGAUCUUAACAAACACCUUUAAACUAAGACUUUUUAAUUAGUCGUCUUUAACAAGCAAGUCUGUAUUUUCUGGUGAGAAGCAAGAAACCUUACAUUAGCAAAAUACCAAUUAAUUAGAUGAAGUCCUUCGGCUAAUCUAUGCCCUAUAAGUAAGGUAAUUAAGCAGAUCGAUACACUUUCCAAAUCUUCAAUGGAUGUCAUUUUUCAAAUUGAAAGGUUGAACCAUUCUGAGAAUUUUCAAAUUGGACAGGCCAUCUGUAAUCAGAUUGUGAUUAGUGUCAUGACCCAUUAGAUCUUUAUAAGAAGUUGGGGUUAGAGGUUUGUUCACAGUGGAUGUCAUGAGAUUUCUGGGCUUUCAUUUCCAUUCUUUCCUCACUAUUUCAUGACACUGAUGCUUCUCCCACCAUUCAUAUGGUUUGACUCGGACAUCUUAAUUAGUUUUUUCGAUCUCAGUUGAUGGGGGCCGGUUAUACUGGGAUAAUCUAGAGAAGCAAAUUAAUGGCAUCUUUCCAUUAUUGGAUUAUAUGAGGUUGUUGGCCAUGGUUCAAAGUCAUGGUAUCGGACACCAACUCGGUAAGUCUUGAGGCACAUGGGUCUCAACGUCGCAGAUCAAUAUCGGGUGAUACACAAAAAAUUAUAGUUUAAAAGCCCAAAACAAUUUAAAAAGAUUACAAAAAUAAAUACAAAUAAAUGAAGUUAAAAAUUAAUAAAAUAAACUUUUAUUAUAUAUAAAAUUAUUCAAAUUAUGAUAAAAACAUACCUUCGUAAUGAUUUAUAAAAAUAUAAAAAAAUUAAUUUAAUCACUUAAUAUUAAAUAUGCAUUAUUAAAGAUGAAAAUAAUAAAAAGUGAAUUUAUUGUUUAUAAUUUUUUUUAAAUUAAAUAUUUUAAAUUUUUAAAAAAUAUUUUCAAUAUUUUAAAAAAUACAUCUAGGAAUCAUCUUUGAAAAAAGUAAACAUCAUUUUUCUUAUCAAAUAUAUACUAAAUGAAACAAUUAUAAAAAUGGAGAAUUUUUAUUUGAAUGAGCAUAUUUGAAUAUAAUAUAUUUUUUCUAUACAUCUAUUCAUUUUAAUUGACUUUUUAUAUUAAUAUUUAUUUUCUAUUUUAUUUAUGUAAACCUAAAUAUUCAUUAUUAAUUUACCAUUAUCCUAAACCCAUCAAAUUUUCAUUAUCCAUUUAAAUACAAUUAUUCACCACAUAUUCAUUAACUACUUAUUUGUAAUCCUAUCAAAUACCCAUAAACCAUUCACCUCGCAAACACGUAUUUCCUUUUUUUGCACAAUACCCAUUUCCCCUCUAAAACAACACUUUGAGCUCUCUACUUCUUUGCACAAUACCUAUAUUUGAAGGCUAAAAAAAUAACCCCAUGAAGAUACAAGAGGAUGGAGAUGCAAAUAGAAGGAUGAAGAUGCACAAGGUUUGAAGACUCUAAACUCUCCAUACUUCUUCACUUUCAUGAGUUUUGAUUAUCUUCUCUUAUCCACCAUUUCUGCUCCAAUAUUACUAUUUUUUUUCCAUCACCCAUCACCCAUCACCCAAAGAGAUUAGUUUGAAUAUAAUAUUAGGGUUAUCUCAAAGUUUCUUUGUGAUUUAACAAGUUUAUUCAUGAGUCAACCAAAUAUUGGACUCAGGAAUCAGUCCAAUACGGUUCAUGAGCUCUUUAUUUAUUUGUACAAUACCCAUUUUUGAAGGCUCACAACACAACCCUACAAAGAUACAAGAUGAUGAAGAUGCAAAUACAAGGAUGAAAUGCAAAGGGUUUGAAGACUCUGAACUAUUUAUAUUUUUUCACUUUCAUGGGUUUCGAUCUUCUUCUCUCAUCCACCAUUUUCGCUACAAUAUUACUAUUUUUUUCCAUUACCCAUCACUCGAAAAGCUUAGUUUGGACACAAUCUUUAGGUUAUCUCAAAGUUUCCAUGCGAUUCAACAAGUUUAUUUCAUUAGAUAACCAAAUAUUGGACUCAGAUAUCAAUUCGAUACCGGUCAUGGCCAAGACGGAUGUAACUCAGUCGAGUCAAACUAGUCUUGACUAAGAUUUUGAACCCCAUUUGAGCUCUCUAUUUCUUUGCAUGUACAAUGCCCAUUUUUGAAGGCUCACAAAAUAGCCCUAUGAAGAUACAAGAGAAUGGGGAUGAAAAGGGUUUGAAGACUCUGAACUCUUCAUACUUCUUCGCUUUCAUGGGUUUCGAUCUUUUUCUCUCAUCUACCAUUUCUACUCCAAUAUUACCAUUUUUUUUCCAUCAUCUACCACCUGAAGAGCUUAGUUUGGAGAUAAUCUUGGGGUUAGCUCAAAGUUUCUUUGUGAUUUAACAAGUUUAUUCAUGAGUCAACCAAAUGUUGGACUUAGGUAUUGGUUCGACACCAAUCAUGGCUAAGGCGGAUAUGACUGAGUUGAGUCGUACAAGUCUCGAUCAAGAUUAUGAGCCCUGUUUGAGCUCUCUAUUUCUCUACACAAUACCCAUUUUUGAAGACUCACAAAAUAGCCUUAUGAAGAUACAAGAUAAUGGAAAUGCAAAUAUAGGUGUAGGACCUCAGGCGCUACCAACUCUCCUAAAAGCAAUUGCUGUUAGGAAAGACGCAUACCCUAACCUUAUAGUGCAUUCACCCAAGCGCCCAUGGAGAACACAAGGGGAGUUUAUGGAUACGACCAACCUUCCGAUCUAUCAGCAAUCUCCCAUACCACUUGUAGGACCUCAGACGCUACUAACUCUCCUAAAAGCAAUUGCUGUUAGGAAAGACGCAUACCCUAACCUUAUAGUGCAUUCACCUAAGUUCCCACGACAAACAUAAGAAGAGUUGAUGGACGCGGCCAACCCUCUGAUCUGCCAACAAUAGGGAUGAAAAUCCAAAGGGUUUGAAGACUCUGAACUUUCCAUAUUUCUACACUUUCAUGGGUUUCGAUCUUCUUCUCUCAUCCACCAUUUUCACUCCAAUAUUACCAUUUUUUUUUCUAUCAACCAUCACCCAAAGAGCUUAGUUUGGACAUAUUCUUAAGGUUAUCUCAAAGUUUCUUUGUGAUUUAGCAAGUCUAUUCAUGAGUCAACUAAAUAUUAGACUUGAGUAUCGAUCUAGUACUGGUCAUGGCCAAGGCAAAUAUGACUCGGUCGUGUCAUACCAAUCUAGAUCAAGAUUUUGAACCUUAUUUGAGCUCUCUAUUUCUUUGUACAAUACCCAUUUUUAAAGGCUCACAAAAUAACCCUAUGAAGAUACAAGAGGAUAAAGAUGCAAAUAUAGGGAUGAAGAUGCAAAAGGUUUGAAGACUCUGAACUCUCCAUAUUUCUUUGCUUUCAUGAGUUUAACUCUUCUUCUCUCAUCAACCAUUUUUGCUCCAAUGUUACCAUUUUUUUCACCAACCAUCACCCGAAGAGCUUAGCUUGGACAUAAUCUUUAGGUUAUCUCAAAGUUUCUUUGUGAUUUAGCAAGUUUGUUCAUGAGUCAACCAAAUAUUGGAUUUAGGUAUCAGUCUGAUACCGAUCAUGGUUGAGGUAGAUAUGACUCGGCUGAGUCUUACCGAUUUCGACCAAGAUUUUGAACCCUGUUUGAGCUCUGUAUUUCUUUGCACAAUACUAAUUUUUGAAGGCUUAUAAAAUAACCUUACGAAGAUACAAGAUGAUGGAAAUACAAAUACAAGGAUGAAGAUGCAAAGGGUUUGAAGAGUUUGAACUCUCCAUACUUCUUGAUUCGUUCCCAAUUGGUGUCUCAGCUGAUUCAUGUCCAGCUGGUGCUCUUUGAUUGAGAGAGUAAUCAACAAAAUUUAUAACCUAUAUCACUAUGCAUUAGGAUAGCUUUAGCUAAUAUAGCAUAGUGGCUCUAGGAUCGUUCACUGGGAAGGGUUUUCAACUCACAACUGAUACCAAUUCAAAGUUAAAUUGGUACUUUUUCAUUUCAAGGUUAGCUUAAGAAAAAAACACAAACUUUGUUUAAAUGAGGUUUUGUUUAAAGGUAACUAAAAAGAAAGUAAUGGAAAUUACUUAUGAAGAAAAACAUUCCUUGGAGGUUUAGGUUCACAGGGGAGGUUUCUUAUGCAAAAACAGAGCUCCGGUCAUUUGGUUCAUUUCCUCGCAUUAGAGAAUUAACAUAUAGUCAAUUCUCUAACCGGUGCUGCACAGAUGUAUCCUUUAAAUGGAUUUCAACUCUAAUUCCCUCUCACUGAUGCAACUUGCAAUGGCUCGUGCCUCUCACCUAGCAUUUUCCAUUCAAUGUGAUCUUUAACUUUGGACUUCUCUUCUCAAGCUCGCAAGAGAUAACUAACGGAUGUCUCCUUGGAGUCCAAAAGCUUACCAAGUGUUGGCAAUUCUAGAAAAUCCUACCUCCAAGUCACUUCCCAAAAGCCCGCAAGAGAUAAACAAGUGCAUCUCCAUGGACGGAGAUCACGUGCCUUACCAAGUGUUGGCUUAAGUGAAUUGAAGGUAUUUUAAGUUAACUAAAAACAUAUAAAUCAUUAAAGGAUCACACUUUCUCUUCAUUAAUGACUGAAACCACAAAGCUACUAAUUCUUGCACUUGGAACCUUUCCCGGCAACCUUAACUCCAAGGAACUAAAAGUCUAGCCACUCAUUCUAUGAGGAAACUUCCUCAGAGCUUGUUUGGCUAGUAAGAAAACUAACGAGAAAACAAUUAUAUGAAGGAAAAACAGAGCAAGUGCUCUAUAAAAUAUAUUUCUUUUUUCUGCCGAUUACAUAAUAUAUCUUUGUAAAGAAAAUUACAAACUAUAUAUAUGAGGUUAUUCACCCUUUGUACUUACUUAAAGACUAAGGAAUCCUAUGAUAGGUGGGUUACAAGGAGACUUUGGGAGGUGGGUUACAAGGAGACUUUGGGGAUUUAGACAACAAAUAUUUAAAGCAAAAUAUCUCAGGAUGUCGGUCGGAAAUAUCAAGAAGCUUCAGGAGAACACCGUGGCACUGUAUACUGAGAGAAAAACUCUCCUGGUAAGCGCUAUCAGAGGAUCCGGAUAAGUUUGACCGGAGAAGUUGAAACGUCCUCCUCUCCCAUCCGGCUGCGAGAUAUCCAGAUGUAAAAUGUCGGCGCACAGAAUUCCGGAUGUGAAAUGUCGACGCACGGAAUUCCUCCCCUGGUGGACUAAGCUAUGUUGCGCAAGGGGGACCGUCUGCGUGUGCAAGGUGUAGGGACCCCUCUCCCGGAUGACACGGAAUGCGCAAGGCUAUCCGGAUCAACUCCAUCCGGAUUCCCCAAGAGGACAUGUGGCGUGCUCCCCUAUUCAGACUCCCUCAGGUUGAAGCACACAGCACUCGUGAUCAUCACACCCGGACGAUAGCAUAUCCUAUCCGGAUAUGUUGUCCGGAUCAUUGACUUCCGCCGUCAUCCGAUGGUGUGUCCGGACAUCUUUUACUCCUUGCAUUCCAGAUUUGCUUAUGGAAAAGAACCUCAAAGCUUUGGUUCUUCAUAUUUCUGAGCUUUCCAUUGCUUUGCCAUGGAUUCCAAAGAACUCUCCUCAAUCACGGAUUGCUUUGGUGAUAAAAAAGCUAUCAAAACACCAAAACUUAACACAAUUUGAUUAGAAUUGAUUGCAAGGGUCCUUAAUAUGUUAAUUGGGUUAAAAUGUGAUAACUACUACUCAAAAGUGUUUAAAAGAGUUUAUUACAAGCUAUCAAAUAGCACUUUUUGAGUAGUAAUCACUUCUUCACUACCAUGGGUUUCGAUCUUCUUCUCUCAUCCACCAUUUUCCCUCCAAUAUUACCAUUUUUUUUCCAUCACCCAUUACCCGAAGAGCUUAGUUUGGACAUAAUCUUAGGGUUAUCUCAAAGUUUCUUUGUGAUUUAACAAGUUUAUUCAUGAGUCAACUAAAUAUUGGACUUGGGUAUCGGUUCGAUAAUAGUCAUGGCCUAAGAUUUUGAACCCUUUUUUAGCUCUCUAUUUCUCUGCGCAAUACCCAUUUUUGAAGGCUCACAAAAUAACCCUACAAAGAUAUAAGAUGAUAGAGAUGCAAAUACAGGGAUGAAGAUGCAAAGCGUUUGAAGACUCUGAACUCUCCAUACUUCUUCACUUUCAUAGGUUUCGAUUUUCUUCUCUCAUCCGUCAUUUUAGCUCCAAUAUUACCAUUUUUUUGCAUGACCUAUCACUCGAAGAGCUUAUUUUGGACAUAAUCUUAGGGUUAUCUCAAUUUUUUAUUUUAUUUUUGUGAUUCAACUAGUUUAUUCAUGAGUUAACCAAAUAUUAAACUCGGGUAUUGGUCUAGUACCGGUCAUGGUUGAGGCGGAUAUUACUCGGCCGAGUCGUUUUGAUCUCAACUGAGAUUUUGAACCCCAUUUAAGUUCUUUAAUUCUUUUCACAAUACCCAUUUUUGAAGGCUCACAAAAUAACCCUACGAAGAUACAAUAUGAUGAAGAUGCAAAUAUAGGGACGGAGAUGCAAAUGGUUUAAAGACUUUGAGCCCUCCAUAUUUUUUCACUCUCAUGGGCUUCGAUUUUCUUCUCUCAUCCACCAUAUACGCUCCAAUAUUACCAUUUUUUCCAUUACGCAUCACCCGAAAAGCUUAGUUUGGACAUAAUCUUAGGGUUAUCUCCAAGUUUCUUUUUUAUUCAACAGGUUUAUUCAUGAGUCAACCAAAUAUUGGACUUGGGUAUUAGUUCGGUAUUGGUCAUGGCCGAGGUGGAUAUGACUUGGCCGAGUCGUACCGGUCUUAAUUGAGAUUUUGAACCCUAACUGAACUCUCCAUUUAUUUGCACAAUACCCAUUUUUUUAAGGCUAACAGAAUAAGCCUACGAAGAUACAAGAGGAUUGAGAUGCAAAUAUAGGAAUGAAGAUGAAAAGGGUUUGAAGACUCUUAACUCUUUAUACUUUUUCACUUUCAUGGGUUUCAAUCUUCUUCUCUCAUCCACCAUUUUUGCUCCAAUAUUACCAUUUUUUUCCAUUACCCAUCACCCAAAAAGCUUAGUUUGGACAUAAUCUUAGAGUUAUCUCAAAGUUUCUUUUUUAUUGAACAAGUUUAUUCAUGAGUUAACCAAAUAUUGGACUCGGGUAUCGAUCCAAUACCGAUCAUGGCUGAAGCGGAUAUGACUCGAUCAAGUCGUACGAGUCUCAAUCGAGAUUAUGAACCCUAUGUGAGCUCUUUAGUACUCUACACAAUACCCAUUUUUGAAGUCUCACAAAAUAGUCCUACAAAGAUGCAAGAGGAUAGAGAUGCAAAUAAAUGGAUGGAAAUCCAAAGGGUUUGAAGACUCUGAACUCUCCAUAUUUCUUCACUUUCAUGGGUUUCGAUAUUUUUCUCUUAUCCACCAUUUCCACUUCGAUAUUACUAUUUUUUUCCAUCACCCAUCACCCUAAGAGCUUAGUUUGGACAUAAUAUUAGGGUUAUCUCAAAUUUUCUUUGUGAUUCAACAAGUUUAUUCAUAACUCAACCAAAUAUUGAACUCGAGUAUCGGUCCGAUAUCGGUCAUGGUGGAGGUAGAUAUGAGAACAACCAAAUAUUCAAUUUUUUUUUAAAUUUAUAAUGUGCAUUUACUACAAAGCAAUCUUUAAAAUAAAAUAAAACUACCAUUGAUAAUUAGGUUACACUUGACAGCAAUUUUAGGAAGUGUUUUUAAUCUUUCUAAUACUUGAAAAAUAACAAUAGUGGUUUUAAGAAACGUUUCUAACUUUUUUAAUGGACAAUUGCAAAUUAGGAAAUAAAUAUGUAAAUGGGUACCAAUUUUUCUAAAAGCUUUUAAACUUUUUUCUAUUUUGGGUUAUAAUGUGUAUCAUGUUAUUAACAAUAUUUUUGCUUUUAUUUCAUGUCAAAUAAUAUAAUUUUUAACUUUAGAAGAGUCACAAACAAUAUUUGUGUUUACCCUAAAAUGCUUUUUCCUCGUAUGCAUUUCAGGGUGUAGGGAUUCUCAUGGAAAAUACUUCCCAUGGCUGGCAUGGGAGUUGAAGAAUUGUUGCAUGUGCAGCCAAAGGUAAAAGAGGGAUUCAUGUGUUACCUGAAUUGCAUUUUAUCUGAUUUACAAUUUGAUUAUAUGUAUGUUUGUGCAGUCUGGUGCUUGUGUUGCUCAUUUCUAUAUGUGCUAAAUGGAGGAUUUCUUUUUCAUCCAAAACCCUAGUAUUGCAGGAGAUAGUUGCUUUAUGGGUCAGUCUUCUUACCAAAUCUUAACUCUAUGCUGACUUCUUUUUCUUUGAUUUCCUACUCUUUGUUCUGCAUAUGUGUUUUCAACCUAACUAUUUUCAUAGGGAUCAAUGGAAAUUAUGAUUUUUCAAAGAAUAUUGAAAGUAGAAGAAAAUUAAGCAUUUGUGAAAUAUGGAGGAGCAAAAUGAUUUCUUAGUUUUAGCACAUCAGUUUACAGAAGAUAUUGUAAUUUCACAUGAUGAAAAUGAAGAGGGGAACCCAGAUUUCCAAUGGAGGGACUUUUUGGGCUUGGGGGACUAGAAAUGCAAGAUAUAAGUGCAAAUAUUGGAGUUACCCAACCAUAAAUCUGUCCGAAAAACUCGCUUUAAGGGGAGGAUGUUCCUCAUACACAAGAUGGAUUUAGCAUGGGGAUAAUUAGAUCCUAGAUGUUUGUAAGACUCAAUUCUAUCCAGUUUGCGUCCUUUUGGGGCUCCAUCAUGUGGGUUCUUUCCCCUUUUCGGUCAUCUUAAACUGGCUCUGAUGGUUGUUCGAUUGGUAACUCCGAAAGAUCAGAAUAGCUGUAUCUGCUAAGAUAAUGGAUGAAAUGAUAUGCUAACUUGGCAACUCGAAAAUAAUGGCCCGUGUCUUCCUCCUAUUAGGGUAUAUUGAAUUCUAAUUCAAGAAAAUUUUGCAGUAUUCAGGGUGGAAGCAGAUCACUUAAUCUUUUGUAGUAGGGAUUUAAGAGGUUUAGGCAGAUGCUUGAAGGUUUAUUCAUACUUAUUGUGAAGCAGAUCAUCUGGAAAACUGGGGAGUUAUCAUGCUGAAGACAUUUUUCUCCUUAUUGAAGUUUUCCAAACAAACCCUUCCAUCUAGGGUGAAUUAUUGGUUUCAUUUGGCUGAGUAGGAGAUUUCAGAUAGAAGCCAUCAAUCCUGGUCCUCAAGGGUGGAGUGGUAUGAUUACCAUCUAUGUAAAGACUUUGAAAUUUUUUUGUCAUUAACAAGCAUUUGUUGAUAAAUUUGCUUACCAUCUUCCACAAAUGAAAUUAUGGUUUUGAGUGUAUAAUUAUAACUGCUUAUGAUGAAAGGGAAAAACACCGACAAAGGACUCACUGGUUUUUUCUGCACAAAUGGGAGCAAUCUGUUAUUCUGGUUUCUUAUUACACACAAGCAAAACGAUCAUUUAUAGUUGUAAAUAGAGAGCUCUUCUUCUUACCUAGACUGAAAGUGACGGAGGUUUACUAUUUUAAGUUCAGUGACAUGUCCACAUUUUCUUCCUUUGCCUUACGAAGUGUUUCAAAUCCCAUUUCUUUCCAGACAUUCUUUAGCCUUUGAGCAACCGAAGAGAUAAGGGGACGCUUUUGGGGGUUCUCUUCUGUGCACAUCAUCCCUGCAUCGAGCAUGUGGAUACAGCAUUGCUCAAGCUUAUGUAAAGCACCACUCCCCUCUUCCAAAUAUGCUUCGUGCUUCAGUGAGAUGUCUACAAUAUCCAAAACUUGAUUUGGAAAAGCAGAACACACCCAUUUCCUUAGAUCAAGUCCAUCUGAAAACAUUUCAUUCGUUGGUCUCUUCCGUGUUAUCAUCUCUAACAUCAUCACUCCAAAACUGUAUACAUCUCCUCUUGUUGAGACAUCGAUCCCCUGCCCAUAUUCUGUGUACAAGCAAUAGGAACUAUUAGCUGAAUCACUGUACUUUUAUUUAUAUCCCUUCAAAUUAGGAUAGUCUGUUUAAAGAAAGAGACAUGGAUAGAUGCAGUUGGUUCAUAUUAACUAUCUGAAUAUCACAAGAAUGCAAGCAUCCUUCUUUUUCAUUUAGAUGUAAAUGCUUCUCAUUGGAAAAGCGAUUAGGAAACUAUCUGAAUAUCACUGUACUUAAAGAAAAGCGGGAGAAUAACCAACAAGACAUACCAUGUUGUUAAACAAAUUUAUCAUAAUGGUAUAUGAGGAAACACACAAAACCCUAUUUUUUCUUCUCGACUUCUAUCCUAUUAUUAACAGUUAGUUCUCUAGAAUAUAUGACCAUUGGGUAGGCAGUCAAAUGAAUGAAAACUAGACUAGUUUGAAGUUCAUGUGAGAUGAAAGAUUGGCAUUCAUGAUUAAAAGUAAUUAUCUAGUCUGAUAACUUAUCAUUUACUUCUCAGAUUUGAAGGUAGGUCGCUAACUUUUCCAAGAAGAUUCAAAGGGAUUAUGAAGCAUAGGAUUGAAGAUUUAUAUAAGGUAAUCAAAUGCAUACCUGGGGGGAUAUACCCGACAGAUCCUCGUAGAAAAGCAGUUGUGGUAGUAACAUGUCCUCUUGGUUUGUCACCUGAAAUGAGCUUUCCAAUACCAGAAUCUCCUACAUGAGCCACCAUAUCAUUGUCCAAAAGAACAUUUUGUGGUUUCAGGUCACAGUGUACAACUUGAACAGGACAACCCUCAUGAAGAUACUCCAAGCCAUUUGCAACAUCUAUUGCUAUUCCCAUUCUUUCCCUCAAUUUUAAUUCACUACCUCCUUCAUCUGACCCACCAGGGUAAAGAUGCUGUUCCAAGUUCCCAUUGCCUAUAUACUCGAGAACAAUAGCCUUGAAUCCUGAAUUCCAGGUCGAUCCUAUCAUUCUAACCAGAUUCCUAUGUCUAAUUUCAGACAGUAUUUGACACUCCCUUUUAAAACUUCUGUAACCCUGAACACGCUCUUCUUGCAGAACCUUAACUGCCACAACAGUUUUUCCAUCAUUGAUGAUAGCUUUAUACACCCUACCAAAACUUCCUUCCCCUAAUAGAUUAGCCUCAUCAAAACCGCCAGUAGCAAUUUCGAUUUCCCUUUCAGUUAAAGUUUGGGUUCCAUGAUGGGUUGGGGAAUACAUUAGAAUUGCAGUCUCCGCACCUGCACUCCUAUUUUUGAAGAAGAAACGACGAACAGUGAGGGCGAUCAGCACAAAGAGAAGCAGAGAACAAGUUAAUAUUGCAAACAGGUAAUAAAUCCAUUUCCUUUUCUUGUGCUUUUGUUUCAGAAUUUCACAUGGAUGGAGACCCAUAAGUUUGGUGCCACCACAGAGCCCCAUAUUCCCCAUGAAUGAGCUGCUUCCUAGAUUUUUAUACCUCCCACUAUUUGGAACCUCUCCUGUUAAUCUGUUAUACGAUAAAUUGAGAUUCUUGAUCUUCUGGCUGUCACCAAUCCAGAUUGGAACAUUUCCUGUUAAAUUAUUGAAAGCCAAGUCCAGAUAUCCUAGAUCAAUGAUUUGCUUCAGGGACUCUGGGAUUGUACCUUCAAGCAUGUUGUGAGAGAGGUUCAGAUACUCCAUUGAAAUGCAUCUUCCAAUCGAACUUGGUAUCACUCCGAAGAAUUUAUUCGCUGACAAGUCAAUUGCCAGCACAGAUGCCAGAUUUCCAAUACUAGCAGGUAGUUCUCCUUCAAGAUUGUUGUUCGAAAGGUUGAGUGAAAGAGCCAGGUUUGAGAAAUGACCAAUUUCUGUGGGAAGAGACCCUUGUAAGUUGUUAAAAGACAAAUCAAGAAGCAUUAGAAGAGAACAUUGGGUGAGUUCGAUGGGAAUUUUCCCUGUGAGGUGGUUGUGAGACAAGUAAAGAUAUCUCAACUGUGACAGAUUACCAAGAGAAGAUGGGAUUGUCCCACUAAUCAAAUUAUCACUAAGUUCCAGUAAACCAAGGUUAGCCAUCUGCCCAAGUUCAUCUGGAAUUGGCCCAAGAAGUUUGUUUCUUCCCAAGUGUAAUCUCUGCAACUGCCUAAGCUUCCCAAUUGUUGCAGGAACUCCAUUCAAAAAAUUAUACCACAGGUCUAGAGUCACAAGGCCGCUUAGAUUUCCAAUUUCAGCUGGUAGGUCUCCUGUUAAUUUGUUGUUUCGAAGAUUCAAGUAGUAGAGAUCUUUGGAAAGACUGCCAAUUGAAGCCGGUAAACUUCCUGCAAACAGACAUGCCCCUAAGUGCAGUUUCUGUAGACGUGAACAAUUAGUGAGAGGAGUUAGAAAACUGAGGGAAGAGUUGUUGGAACCGCUCACCAGGUUAUUGCUAUGAAGGUAAAGUCUCUCAAGUUUCUUCAACUUCCCCAACUCAGGAGGGACUUCCCCCUCUAACUGGUUGAGGCUAAGAUCAAGCAGUGUCAGCUGAGAAAGAUUGGACAGGGUCACUGGAAUUUUCCCAGAAAGUUGGUUUUCUUGGAAGUACAAUCUCUGCAAGUUAUGGAGCUUUGACCCCAAUUCGAAAGGGAUUGUUCCCGUUAACCGAUUCUCAAUCAGUGUAAUGUGACGCAGGGCAGUGCAAUUACUGAUGGAUGCAGGUAUGCUUCCUUCCAAAAAGUUGAUGUGGAGGUACAAUAUCUCCAGCUUUGUUAAUGCUCCUAGCUCCUCUGGAAUCCUUCCUGUGAAGUAAUUAACUUGCAAUUCUAAAUCUGUCAGCUUUGUCAGAUUCGAAAGAAACGAUGGUAUAGCUCCAGUGAGGCUGUUCUCAGAGAGACAAAGGUAUGUCAAGUUUGUCAUUUGGCCUAGUACAGCAGGAAUGCUUCCAGUCAGAUUGUUAUAGUCCAAGUCUAUUGUCUCCAGGCUCCAGCAGCCUUGUAUUGAGGCUGGAAUAUUGCCCCCAAGCUUAUUACCACUCAUGUUUAUGAAUGUUAACUCAGAAAGCUCUCCAAUGGUAGCUGGGAUCUCUCCAUACAAGCUGUUGGCUUGCAAAGAGAGGGUGGUGAGAUGGGAUAGAUUGGAUAUGUAUGGUGAGAUAACUCCCUGUAAGCGCAUGUUUAUGAGCUCAAUGGCUAUGACCCGGUUCUUAAGUUGCUGGUGGCAUGUAAUCCCUGUCCAGUUGCAGAAGAACCUGGUUUCAUUCCAAUCUUGGAGAUGACCAUCUGGAUCACCUGUUAUGCCUUGUUUGAAUUUGAGCAGAGAUUGACAAUCAGUGGAGUUUUUGCAGAGGAAUGUGGAAGUUGAUAGUAGAGCAAGACAACUAAGAGAGAAAAACACUGCCACAGCAACGGGAUUGUUCUGAUUGUAUGCCAUUCUCUCUCUCUCUCUCUCUCAGUGUGUGUGUACAGCUUUUGGAAUUCGAUGUUAGAUUUCAGGCCAAAAGUUUUUUUUCUCACUUGUUAGGUAAGAUGGGAUGAACAAUCAAUUUUCUUAAAAGUUUAAACUUAACGUGUAUCAUACUUUUCAACACUCGACGGGAUCAAUGGUAGAAGUUUAAAUAGAUGGGCUCAGUUGCUCAAAUGGUUCAGACAACUUGGCCUAGUGAGGGGCAGGUGGUGAGCCCUCAUUUAUCACUGGGACCAUAGAGCAAGACUUUUUGGUAUUGCCAUCACCUGUCUUAACUUCAUUCAACCUCUUCAAUGCUGUUUGACAUUUUCUUCCGUGACAGAAUUAAUAGCUAUGCAGUUUCCCAAAAUUUGCUCCGAACCCAUUGUCAUUUUUUUUUCUUCAUAUUUUAUAUUUUGUAUUUAUUUAUUUUUAUAUUAUUAUCAUUUAUUAUUUAUUUUAUUUUUCUUUCUUUUUCUUUUAUUUAUUUUAUUUUCUUCUUCCUUUCUUCCUCCAUGCAUGCACUACCAUUGUCACUUUUUUCUCUUUCUAAGGAUUUGCAAUUGACUCUAUUGAUAUUUUGUUGGUUGAGCAUGGAUUUAUGACUUAUAACACACACAUGGAAGGUUGAAUUUCAUGAAAGAAAAUGAGGGUUAGAAAAAUAAUAAAUGGGAAACAUUGAGCUUAUUGUGGGUUUGAUUUGGUACAAAUUCUUUUGUAUAUAUCUACUUGGGUAUACAAUUGAAUAUUUAAUUUAGGAAAAUUCAAAAAAUUGUUUUCAAUGAAAUUAAAAAAAAAAAUUAAUAACAAUUGCCUGGAAAUUUAUUUAUUUAAUAAACAUUGUUUUGUCAAUAAAAUUGUCAUCAAAGUUAAUUUUUAAUAAAAUUAUCUAAAAAAGUGAAUUUAUAAAUGAAAUUCUAUUUCCUUAAUUUAAAUGGGAUAAAAAGUAAUUUUUGUAAAUUAAAGUCUUAAAUAAUUUUUUCAUAAUAAUAGAACGAGAAUCUUUUUAGCAAAUUGAACUUAUACAAAUUAUUUUCUUUUCGUAAAUAAAGUUUGUAAAGAAAUUAUUUUCUUUAUAAAUAAAAUCAAAAUGAAAUAUUUUUACAACUAAAAGAAUAUUUAAUUGAGCAAGUGAUGAACUAUUUGCUUGUUUAAGUAACCUUUUGAAAUGUUCCCUCAGCAUAAUGGUAGUACAAUAAGAGGGUUUAUUAUGUACUUCUUUCUAUAUGGACUUUGGGUAUAAUAAAAACAAUGCUUUCUCUCUCUCUCUCUCUCUCUCUCUCUCUCUCUCUCUCUCUCCCCCUAGUCCACAGGUUUACACCCUCAGCUUUACCCUGGACUAAGUCCUGAAACCCAAAGAUUAUGCAGAAUCAAACUCUUAAAGUCUACAGCAUGAGUUGAAGAAAAAAGGAUGAGUAUUUAAUGUAGUAGUUGAGGAAUGAUUCAAUGUUUGAAAUAUAAAAAAUGCAAUCCAUUGAACACUUAGCUGGACUAUCUGCUUAUUGUAUACAUAAAACAUAGACUAAUCCGAAGACUUCUAUGUUAUAACUUUAGAAUUUUCAUAUCCAAGGUUUUCACUUCUUUCUCAUCAGAAGACAAAGAUUGUAACUGUUGCAGAAAACCUAACAACCUAGUUUAUUUGUUAAGGUCCCUUUCUCUCAUAAGACAUAAAUAUAUUCACUAUCAAACACCAUAAUGAUAAUAAUAAUGAUCUUCUUUUUGCUGUAUAUACACUACUUUAGAGUUUGUUCAAUGUUUGGUUACCAAGAAAACAGAAGGACUGAUCUGCUGCAUUAAAAGGUUAAGUAAUCCUGAAUACUUUCACUUCAUUUUGCCAUAUGUAGUUCUUCCAUUAGCUAGCCAUUUGGAACUAAAUCUUGUGGAGAACUUUUCAUAUUGGAGAUGGAUAUGAAAUUGGAUCUGCCUCCACCUCAUUGAACUUCACUUUCAACAUAUGCAUUGAGAAUAUUUAAGUUAAGAUCAGUAUACUAACUAACCCUACAUAAAUUAACAUGUAUUGGUGAAAACACUUAUCCUUGUAAGUGAGAAAGCAAAAAAAAAAAAAGAAAAAAAAAAAAGACCUACCCAUUGAAGACCAUCUAUAAAUUGACAUGUUUCUCAUGCAAAAAUUUUCACCCCUCACCUAAACACAAAGAUUUGUGAUUGUUUGGAGACAGUACUCUAACAAUGGAGAAAGGUGUUAGUUUCCUAGUAACUGUGGCCCUCAUGGCAUUGGCUUCAUCUUUUGCCUCUGCCUCUGAUCCAAGCCCACUGCAGGACACUUGCGUUGCCAUUGGGGAACCCAAGAAUGCUUGUAUUUCUUUAGUAACCAAUGAACUUGUCACUAUUUUCACUGAUCUUUCCAAUUCAAUAUUGGGCACAUUAAUGCAGUAGCCAUUGCUGGUCUAAGCAGCCAAAAUCCAGGUGUAAUCACCAUAUCCAAUGCAGUGUUUGGAUCAAAUCCACCAAUCAAUCCUGAUUUCCUGGCAACGGCCUUCCAGUUGGACAAGAAGGUGGUUGAAUUCCUUCAAGCACGAUUCUAGUGGGGAAAUAGAGAAAAUGAAGAAGCUAUGAACCUUUGAUUUGCUUGCUUGAAUGACUAUUUGUGAUGUUCAAUUACCUCAUUACAAUAAGAGGGGUUUAUUACUUUAUUUUGUAGCUCUUUUGGUGUGGACUUUGGUCCUAAUAUUAAAAUAAAGCAGUUUGUCUGUUAUGCAUCUUCUUCUGUCUCCAUCUCAAUAUUUGUCUUAAAAAAUCUUAUCUUGUGAAAAAACAACUCUCAGUUGAUUGAUUAACCUGCAUGUGCAGAAUGUUUAUUAAGAAUGAAUACUUAACUAGUUGUAAAACAGUACUACUGCUACUUCCAGCAUACUGCUGGCAGAAUUGGUGAUGAAGGAAUGAACAUUGAGGCAACAACUGCUGAGAAUUCAAAAAUAAAAAAGAUGCCAUUUUGCUUCUCUAUAUUUUCCCAUUAUAACUCAUCAACCGAGAUCGAAGAAACUAAUUAAGAUGUCCAAGUAAACCAUUUGAAUGGUGGGAGAAGCAUAAGUGUCAUGAAAAUUGUGAAGAAAGAAUGGAAAUGAAAACCCAGAAAUCUUAUGACAUCUACUGUAGACAAAUUAAUGUCUUAAAUAAUCUUUUCAUAAUAAUAGAACGAGAAUCUUUUUAGCAAAUUGAACUUAUACAAAUCAUUUUCUUUUCAUAAAUAAAGUUUAUAAAGAAAUUAUUUCCUUUAUAAAUAAAAUCAAAUUGAAAUAUUUUUGUAAAUAAAGUUCUAAAAAUUCAUUCUUUUUCUAGUAAAAGUAAGUCAAAAUAAUUUUUAUUGUCAAAUUGGAAUUUUUUGAAUAAAUUCUAUCCAAAUAAAAUUCAAUCAAAUCAUUUAUUGGAAAUAAAUAAAUAAAUUAAAAUCUUGAAAAAGUAAUAUUUAAAAUAUCUUUUUGUAAUCAAUUUAAUAAAUCGGGGUGUAUAAUUCUAAUGUCAUUUAUUUUGUACAUUUUUGUAAUUUAAUUUUAUAAUUAUUUUCUUGUAUAUUAAUUUGUGUCUUUAAUCUUGAUAUUCAUGAUUGAUCAAUUAACUGUCAUAAUUCAUUUUGUUUGUUUAGUAAAGAUUGUUAGUAUACAUGCUUAGAGGGGUAUUACCACUUAUUAUUGUACCUUUCUGAUAGACAACUUGACCCUUGAAUAUAGACUUGAUUUUACAGACAUGUCUUUUCUAAAUGAGGAUUUAUACAAAAUUUUCUUUCUUAUUUUAUUUUCUCUUUUAAAAAAUAAAUUAAAAUAAGUGGCAAUCCUAAUUUUUUUAUAUAAAAAAAAAAAAUCAAAAUUUCACAAUAAAAAUGAGUCUCACUGUCGAGUGGGAACACACGCAAAAAAUACGGGUCAACAUGUAUCCAAUUGAUUGGGGUCAAUGUCAAGAUGUAUGAUAAAGAUGCAAAAUUUGAAUAUGAAUCCUACCAUUGAUUGAAUCUUGAACUACCUGAUACUGGUUGUAACAAGUGAGAUAAGUUGCUAAGGUUUGCAUUGAAAUCCUCAAUUGAAAGUUACUAGUCAUCCAAAUAUGUAUAUAAAUCAAAGUGCACACAAUUGAUUUUCUUUCUCUUCUAAAUCCAAGAAAUCAACCUCCUUAAGCAAAAGACCUUAGAAUUCUUAGAGUGUGUUUGAUAGUGAUUUUAGGAAGUGUUUUUAACUUUUUUAAUAAUUGAAAAAUAAGAAUUUUGAAGUGUUAAAAAUGUUAGAAACGCUUCCUAAAAUCACUAUCAAACGCACUUUUAAUGUAAUUUGCUCUAUGUACCACUUGAUGUGGAUGUUAAGAUUGAUAUCCUUGGUCAUUGCCUAUAAUCCUAUAUCUAUAAUAGCAAGAAGACAUACAUUGAAACAUGAAUACCCUUUCACUAUGUUUGGUUUAUGGAAAAUACUAAGAAAAGAAAAUGUUCUGAAAAAUGUUUUUCUUAUAUUUAGUUUUAUUAUGAAAAAUAAGAAAAAAAUAAAAUAUAAUUAUAAUUAAUUAAAAUUUUAUGUAUUUUAAAAUUAUUUAAUAUUUAUAUAAUGAAGGAAAAUAAAUGAAACAAGCUUGAAAAAGUAUAUAAAAAUAAUUUAUUAAUUAUAACUUGUAUGCGACUAUUUUGUACUUUAAUCCCGUUUUUCUUUUAUUCUCUUGUAGGUACCUUGAUUUUAUAUAUUUGUAUCUUUAUUCGAUGAUUUAGAUUUCAUAUAUUUGUAUCUUUAAUUGAGAUUGCAAGAUCCGUACGGAUUCAGAUUAGGGAUGACAACGGUAUGGGCUUGAGGCAAGUUACUCAUAUCCCAAUCCAUUAUAUUUAUUCGUAUAUGUUAUCAUCCCCACCAAAAAAAGAAAUUAAAUGGGAAUAGGAAAUUCUCAUGCCUACCCCAUGCUAUCCCAUUAUUUAUUUAUUUAUUUUUCAAUUUUUAUUUCUAAAAUUUUAAGAAAAUUAAUAUUUUAAAUAUGUUAAAAAAAUUGAAAACUGAAAAAAGAAAUCAAUUAAAGAACUUUUUAUUUAACAUUAUACAUAAUUAGGCUGAGGUAGGAUGAAACAAACUCAUACCCAAAAUCACCCUGAAUCAAUCUUGGGUUUUUAAAAAUUUCUCAAAUUCAAGAUGAGACAAAAUCAUAUCCAAAACUAUCUCGAAUCCAUCCUAGAUUUUAAAAAUUUUCUCUAAUUUAUCUAAACUUUAUAUCAUUAUCUCAAAACGAGUACAUUAAGGGUAUGACAAGUACUAAAAAAAAAUUGGUAUAUUGUCAUCCCUAAUCAAGAUCCUAAAAUUUUUCUUUAUGAUAAUGAAAACAACAAUCAUAGUCGUCAUCUCUCUAUCAGUGUACUUUUUAGGUUUGAUCGAAUACACCUUAUGUGUUGCCUUUGGGGCAACCUAGCUCUCUCAAUCAUUGUCUAAAGUUCGGGUGUUUGUUUGUUUUAAUUUUUUUCGACUUUUUUUAAUACUAAAAGUAACUUAAUGACUUUUUUUUAACUUUUUAGUACUUAAUAAAAAUAAAAUAUUAAAAAACCAAAAACUGUGAUGUUUAAUACUUUUAAACACUAUAUAAUUUUAAGUUUUAUUCAAAAUUAAGUAAAAAAGAAAAAAAAAACACUCCUUUGAUGGUCAUCUAAAACUUUUAGGUCAAAGCUUGAUUUGGAGCUCAUUUAAACCUAACCCAAACUUCAACUAAAAAGACCUAUGUCCAACACAAUUAUUAGAGGUGUCCAAUGGGUCAUGUCGGGCCAACACAACCCAUGUUUAUCAGGCCAAUGCGUUGGCUCGACCCAUGCAAGCCAAAUAGGUGGCUUGACAUGGCCCAUAAACCCAUGGGCUAAUCAUGUCGUGUUGUGCCAUGUCGGUGAGUCGCCCCAUGGGCCACACACUUUAAUUAUUAUUUUUUAAUUUAUUUUGUCUUAAGUUUUUUAUUAUUAAAUAAAAUUUCUUUUUGUUACUUUAAACACCUCUAAUAAUUAUACUUUUUAUUUUUUAUAUUUAUAUUUAUCAAGUUUAUAACUGUAAAAUUUAUAAAAAUGUUAGUUUUUUGUUUUUAAAAAUAAUAAAAAGUGAUAUUUAAAGGGUUAAGUGGGCCAACAUGAUGGCACGACGGGUUGUUUCCUUAGGCCCACCACGACCCGCUCCUUUGGGCCAUGCCGGCCUGACUCGAUCUUUUGGCGCACUAGGCCACAGGCCAAAAUGGGUGGCUCGACCCAUUGGACACCUCUAGUAGUUACAUGUCUAGCAUCCAAACGGUAGACCAGGUGAGUUUUGUCAAACCCAACCCAUUCAUCCCCUUUGCUUCAUGUUGGCCACCCGGUUCAGACCAACCAUUGGGUUGAUUUGGGGUCUUGGUUAUUUUUGUUUAAAUAAAUUGCAAAGAAAAAAAAAACUUGGUUUGGAUAAAUAAACUUAAGUUGUUUUUAAAAUAAGCUUUUAUUUGAUUUUUUCUAAAAAAAUUUAUAAAUUCAAUUUGUACAAUAUUAAUUAUAUUUAAUUGAAGUCUUAUUAAAGAUUUAAAAAAAAAUAGUUUUUAAAUUAAAGAUAAAUUAAAAAAAAUCAUAAAAUAUGAAAUUAAUAUUAUAAUAAAAUCAUAAAUUAUGAUUUUUAUUUAAAAUGAUACUAUUUUAAGAUAUGAUUGAUUUAUUUAUUUUGAUAAGAAUGAAUAAUACUAAUUUUAAAAUAAUAAAAGGGUGAUAUAGUUUAUUUGAAAUAAAUUUAAAAAUAAAUAAAAUUUAUUUUUUUAAUACGUAAAUAAGCGAAGUUUUUCAUUAUAUCUACACCUGAGAAUUUAAUCAAGGAUAUAGUAUUUUGAACUAGUUUUGAUUCAUUCCUAUAAUCUUCAUUCAGUCAUUAUGGUUUAGACAAUUGAUAAUUAAUCUGUUGGCAUAAUUGAUUCUGCAAAACAGUAUCCUGAAUUUAGUAUCGAGGGAGGCAGAAACACAGCGAGAGAGAGAGAGAGAGAGAGAGAGAGAGAGAGAGAGAGAGAGAGAUGAUGCUUAACAAUUAACAGACUGCAGACUGCUUUAUUGUAGUAAUAUGCCCAAAGUCCACACCAGAAGAGUUACAACCAGACCCUCUUAUUAUACCAUGUUUGUUACAAUGAGGGAAUUGAACAUCAUGAAUCGUCAUUCAAGCAAGGAAAUCAAAGGUUGACAGCUUAUUCUUUUUCUAUAUUUCCCCACUAGAAUCGUGCUUGAAGGUAUUCAACCACCCUCUUGUCCAACUGGAAGGCCCUUGCCAGGAAAUCAGGAUUGAUGGGUGGAUUUGAUCCAAACAUUGAACUGGCUAUGGUGAUUACACCUGGAUUUUGGCUGUUAAAAGCGGCAAUGGCUACUGCAUUAGUGUGCCCAAUGUUGACUUGGAAGUGAAUGAGACUGAAAGGGAACACAAAAACAUCCCCCUUGUUCAGGACUUUGCUAAUGAAGCGGUGUUCAGGGUUGGAUGUGAUAAAGCCAACAAAGAGUGUUCCCUCCAAGACAAUGAAGACCUCACUGGCACGAGGGUGAAAGUGAGGAGGGUUUUGACCAUUAGGUUCAUAAUCGAUACGAGCCACUGACACCCCAAGAGUGUUUUCUCCUGGUAAUUGAUCAACAUUUAUAAGAUUGACAAUUGAGCCCACAUAAUUUGAUGUGUUUCCUGGAAUAUUCAGCCCUUGAUACAAGAAAUCCUCGGCCACGGUCAGGUUUGGGUUCUUGCAGAACUUCCCAUUUACAAAUACUGCAUGAAGAAGGAAAAAAGAAAAGAUAUAUCAUUAGUAUCAAACCAUACUCACCAUAUCAAUAAAAAGAGAAGUACUGAAAAUAGCUAUAAGAUCAUUGGUUACUAUAGAAAUACCAGCAUUAUUGGGCUCAUCAACGGCAACACAGGUGUCUUCCAGUGGGCUUGGAUCAUAGGCAGAGGCAAGAAAGGAAGCCAAUGCCAUGAAGGCCACGGUUACCAGGAAACUAACGCCUCUCUUCAUUGUUAGAGUACUGCCUCCAACAAUCACAAUCUUUAUCUUUAGGCGGGGAUAAGAAAUUUAGCAUGGAAAAGAUGUUAAUUUAUAGACCAGAGUCGAUGAGUUAGUCUUUGCAUAAACUCACCAAGUCUUCAAUGGGAAGUUUUUUCUUCUUUCUUUUUUCACUUUCGAGGACAAGCGGUUGCACCAAUACAUGUUGAUUUACGUAGGAUUAGUCAGUAAACAGAUCUUAACCAGAAUAUAAAGCAAUGUACAAUCAGGUGGAGGCAGGUCCAAUUUAAUAUCAAUCUGCAUGAUCCAAACGUUUACAUUGUUUCAACAUUUUUGUAUUAUGGUUUUUAUGAACUGUGUUUUUUUGAGUUGUAAGGAAGAAAAACUUAGGUUUAAAGUUCUAGCAUAGAAGAAAAAACCUGUAGAUUAAUUGAUUUUUUAAUCUGAACCAAACACAUGAUCAACUCCAUAAAAACAAGUGGAAAACAAGAAAAAAUGAAUGAUUUUUAAUAUGUAUUUGUGUGAGAAUGAUAGGUAUAGAUUUUUUUUUGAGAUAUACUGCCACAUAAUCUUCAUCCCUUCUAAAAAACGAGAGAGAAAAAAAAAAGAAUGAUUUUUCUGUUUGUAUCUAAGUGAGAAUGAGAUAUAGAAUUUCACUCCAGACGCAUUAAUUUUAUCUCAUACUGCCAUGCUAGACCAAAUCAGCCCUUAACGACAACCACACUGUUUUGUGGGGGGGGGGUUACUUUUGUUCCAUUAUAUUCACAGAAUCUUCAAAUCCAUUCUUUGGAUUAAUCUGCAUGAGGAAAUCUGUUACUGUUAGUGACGGAAACCUGUUAUUGUUAGUACCGGAGUCAACUGUUUGACUGGGUGGGUUCCAAUCAGAUCCUAAGGAAUGGGUCCAAAGGUCAUCCAUUAGAGUUAAUGGAAUUCAUUGUUGUUCUUGUGCCUUGAUGUGUGAGCCCAACACGCACAGAUGCAACUAGGGAUGGCAACGGGGCGGGUUUUUUCGGGUACCCGCCCUGCCCCGCCCCUAAUGGGAUGGGGUUGAAAUUUAAUAAAUGGGUUUUUAACGGGUAUAAGAUUUUUUUUUUUAAACCCGGGGCGGGUUCGGGUAUUGCCCCAUCCCGCCCCGCCCCGCCCCGCCCCGCCCCGCCCCGCCCCGUUUACAUAUAAAAUCAAUUUUAAAAUUUAAUUUAAUUUAAUUUAAAUUUUAAAAUUAAUUUUAUUUUACUAUUUUUAAUAUAUAGAUAAUAAAAAAAAAUUAAUAAAAUAAAUUAUAAAAAAUAUAAUAAUUUUAUUAUUUAUAAAUAUAUUUAUUUUAAUGUAAUUAAAAAUUUUAAAAGCAAUUUUUUUUUUUUUUAAAAAGGAGGCUAAACAGGGCUGGGCGGGGCGGGUUUGGGAAUUUCCCAUACCUGCCCCGCCCCGCCCCGCCCUGCCCCGUUUAAUUUUUUAAACGGGACGGGGAUGGGAAUUAUUUUUAAUAAACGGGGCGGGGUUGGGAUGGGGGCGACCCGUCCCGAACCUGCCCCGUUGCCAUUCCUAGAUGCAACAGUAUGAGUCAUGUGCAGGUAGAUUUGAAUAGACACAUCUUGGCAUCGGGAUGGCUUGAGCAAGGUGUAGUCUCCUACAAUAGGAAGCAUGGUGAACUGAUGCAUCACAUGAGCAAGACUCCUAUUGCAUGAGACAUACUCCUAUCACAUGAGACUUCUAGUCAAAGUGGGAGAUUGAGACCUAAUAUUGCAGGAAGAGAAAGGGACUCUUGACAUGAGAAGACUCCUAAUCGGGAUAGAAAACUAAAUCUUCAUGCAUAAGGAGAUAGAGAGAUGUGGCAUGAGAGUUUUAGAUUCAGUAGGACUUGGAGUCCUACUCAAAUUUGUCAUCUGUUAAGCUUGAGUCGGACGCAAACUAGGACUCAAAAGUUAGUCUCCUAGUAGGAUUAGGAUGGCUUGGUGCAACCUUCAUAAAAGGAGGGCGUGACCCAAUAGGAUGCUCCAAAAAUGGUACCUUACGUGAUAGGAAGGCCCCUUCAAAAGUCAUAUUGCUUGUACCACCAAGACACCACCACUAAGUAUUUGUCCAUAUCUUAAUCCAUGUGUGCAUGGAGAUGAACAUAAAUAUAUAUAGAAAAGAUAAAUAUUAGAAGACAAGUCUCCACAAAGAGACAAAAAUAUAGAAGGCUUCGGUCAACCAAUCCCGCUAUGCGUGGCAAAUGUUUCAGGGGACUGCGUAGGAUUGAACAGCCUUUGCUAGAGGGAAGAUCAAUCUAUGGGCGUGAAUAAAGAGAGAACUGGAGAAGUAUUGGAACAGGCGGGUCACCUCAGUUGACCAGGAAACAUGGCAUUAGUCAACGCAAACCUUGGCUUUCGAUCUCUACAUCGGUGCUGAAUAUUGUUGAACGGAAACACGUGGCCAGCUACAUUGGUUCUAGACAACAAAGGCUGCAACAAUUAACCUGAAAUUGAAAAUUUUGAAAUUUUUUUGAAAACAUAACAUCUUAAGAUGACUGGUAACCUUCUCUUAUUGGUUGGCUCUAAAUCAAAACCACUAUACAUGCAUUGUUCAAUGUAUAUAUGAUGUAGCAUUUUUGUGUUUUGUCUUUUACAAGUUGUAUAUAUUGGAAAAUUCUGACACCAUACAAAAACAUAGAAAAGCCACAAAUACCGCAACUUGCAUAUUUUCAUUUUAUGGCUGAAACUUUUCAAUGAAUCAUUAUCUUUAUUUCAAACUUUAAAAUUUUGAAAACAUAACAUCUUAAGAUGACUCGUAACCUUCUCUUAUUGGUUGGCUCUAAAUCAAAACCACUAUACAUGCAUUGUUCAAUGUAUAUAUGAUGUAGUAUUUUUGUGUUUUGUCUUUUACAAGUUUUAUAAAUUGGAAAAUUCUGACACCAUACAAAAACAUAGAAAAGCCACAAAUACCGCAACUUGCAUAUUUUUAUUUUAUUUUAAUUAUUUAUAGUUGAUUAGGUUUAUGGUAUGCCAUGUUGGAUGCUUUCAGAUUUUACAGAUCUAAGUUACUUUUAUUUUGAGAACGAAUAUUCCAUAAUUCAACCUUUUCCUUUUCUUGUUGGUAAUCAUGAUACAUAAAAUCUAGGAAUGCUAAACACAUCUUUUUUAAAAGUACUAUAUUGUAUUACAAUAGGAAAUGGCUUUUAUCAAAAGAGAAAUAUCCUUAAAUUGAUUAGGCCUAGCUCAUACUUUCAUCAACCAUAUGAUGACAUGAAAAAAAUCAAAGAAGAAAUAUGGGAAAUGGUACGAAAAGAGAUGGGUAGUAAUAACAUGAGACAACAACUUGUUUUACAACUAGUUGUAGCAGAAAAACCAAUGUUUAAAAUGAUAGAAGAGCCCCAACCACCAGAACCACCACUGAAACACAAGGUAUGCAUUUACUUACUAAUAAUACAAGAUUAAUAUAAGUGACAUAAAGCCUAUGUAAAUGAUAUUAUUUGUUGUAUUGAAGGUAAUUAAAUGUAAAUUAGCAGUGGAAAGAAAAGAAAAUGUUGUUCCAACUGGUACACUAAUAGAAGAAAAAGGAUCGAAUAGGUUGGUUGUAAUAAAUGCUGCACACAAGCCAGAUGCUAGACUCCCAUUUCCAAAUCCAUAUGAGAUUAUCAAUGUUGGGGAUGCUAUUGGCUUUGAGCUUGACUGGCCAACAAGCCUUGUCAUACUUGAAACUGAACAUCCUUAGGUAUGUCAUUUUAUGCCUAUAGUAAAUUUGAUUGUAACUUGGUAUUUUAUUGUUUAGGAGUAUAUAUAUCUAACAUUCCUUCCUUUUUCAUAGGUGUUGGAUAAAGGAAAGAAGAAGAUAGUGAAGACACCAAUUUUUUGAAAAUCUAAGCCUCAAAAUCAUUCGGUCAUUAAAAAUUUUCAAAAAUUUGUGGAUGGUUGUCUUGGUAAUGACAAGACAUACCCAAUACAGCUCCCCAUUUCACUUUUUGGUGUCGAAUUUCAAACAUAUAUAUCUAGAGAGGAUUGUGAAUACAUUAUUUCAUCUUUAGAGGUGUCAUCAAACUGCAUCUCCUUCUAUUUAUGGUGUGCACCUUUUAUUUUCAUUUGUUUUUAUUUUUUUAAAUAUGAGUUGCCCAUGUUGAACGAAAUUGGAUAUGACUAAUGAUAAUUUUCUUUUGGUGUUUUGAUACAAUAAUAGGCACAUGCAUGAUCAACUACAUAUUGCCAAAAAGGAAUCACAAUUUAUAUUUGUUAAUCCUUUUACAAUAUCACGAGCAAGCCUUAGUACUCAUCAAACAGAGAAAAGAGCACAAUUGUUGUCAAAACGCUUAAUGGAGUGCCAAGAUGCUAAAUAUGUUUUCAUACCUUACAACCCUGAGUAAGUGACAAAUAUUAUACUUUAAUUUGAGGUUUUAUGAUUGAUUUAUAUUUCUAAUUAGACGCUACUUUUGUUUUUAAUGUUUUAGCUUUCAUUGGGUCUUGGUGGUGAUUGAGCCAAGGAAAAUGAUAGUCCACUAUCUUGACCCUAUGCAUCACAAACUAUUUGAGGACUUAAAGAAUAUCGUAAACAUGUAAGUUCUUCCUAUUAUUUUUCAUAGUAUUAUUUUUUUUUUUUUAUAAAAAAUACAUUCAUCUCAAACACAUUGAACUUAUUUACAUAGGGCACUUCGAAUAUCUACAAAGAAAACAUCUAAAAGGGAGCCAUCUUGGCAACUAGUGCAGGUGACAUCCAAAAAAUUUUCUUUACACAUUAGCUUAUGCAUUUGCACCAUUUAUAUAUAUGAGUACUAAUGUUAUUUUAUAAUUGAUCGAUUAGUGUCCAAGACAAGAAGGAGGGUUCGAAUGUGGCUACUUUGUUAUGAGAUUCAUAAAAGAGAUAAUUUUUUAUCCUACAAUUAUUGCUUCAAAGGUAUUACAAAUUUAAUGAAUUGUACAUAGUUUUAGGCUUCCAAAUGUUAUGCAUUUUAAUGUUAUUUUCUUAUUUGAUUUCAGUUUGGUGAUAAAAAAACAUAUUCUCAAGUAGAAUUCGAUGAAAUUAGAGAAAAAUGGGCUACUUUUGUGCUACAACUAAUCAUGAAUCAUGUUGAUGCAUCAUGAUCACCAUGCAUGGUGAGUCCUUUAGCUACUACAUGAAUUUUUCCAUAGGUUCUUUGAAUAAUGUUUCUAUUUGAAAAAAAAAAAGAAAAAAAAAUAGUUCUUAGAUUUUUUUCAUUUAUGAUAACAUCGAUCCAUGUUUAUUUUCUUCAAUAAAAAUCUAUAAAACUCAUUAAACUAUGAAAUGCAAGUAUACACUUUUGGGAUGGUGGAAUGGAGAAUAAAAAGAAAGAAGAAGGCAACAAGAUUUUGGGUUUUUAAAUGCAACUCUUAUGUCAUACGUUGUAGGACAUAAAUGUUAAUUUAAUUAGUACUGAGAAAUUUAGAUUUUUAGAUGGGACUUUUAUGUCAUUUUAUAGUUAGCCGGUUUUAUGCUUAUGAAUUGGAGGUAUACAUGAAUCUUGGGAUCUUUAACAUUUCUAAAUCAUGUUUUGGUAUGUAUUCACUCUUCUUUUUUUAGUUUUGAUGGGUUUGAUAUGUUGGAUGUACUAUCUUUUUGUGAACAUUUGAUAUACAAAUAUUAUUAGAUGAUCAAUGUAUUAUGAGUUAUUCUAGAAACAUUACAGAAAAAUGAGUUAAAUAUAAUAUUAUUGUUAUAUUUAUGGACAAAAAAUAAAUAGGUUAAUCUUACUUAUUAAUUCAUAAGCAUUACAAAAAUUUAUAACUAAAAGCAAUCAUAUCUUCCACAAUAAUUUACAAUGAUGUGACACCAUUACUCAAAGGUGAUGCAUUUAAUAUGACAUUAUAAUUCAAAGAUGAUGCAUUUAAUGCGAUACCCUCUCAUCACUAGAAAUAUAUGGUGUCACUUCCGAAUGGGUCACCAUUUAUCUACUUUGGUGUCACUUCCAAAUACGUUACCAAUUGGUACCCUCUAUGGUAUCAGUGGAGAAGGUGACGCUAUGUUGUAGUGACACCCUAUGUUUAUGGUAACUCGUUAUAAAUGUCACCAUAUAUCUUUUUCCCUAUAGUGUAUAGCUCCAGUGAGGCUGUUCUCAGAGAAACAAAGGUAUGUCAAGUUUGUCAUUUGGCCUAGUACAGCAGGAAUGCUUCCAGUCAGAUUGUUAUCGUCCAAGUCUAUUGUCUCCAGGCUCCAAUAGCCUUGUAUGGAGGCUGGAAUAUUGCCUCCAAGCUUAUUACAACUCAUGUUUAUGAAUGUUAACUCAGAAAGCUCUCCAAUGGUAGCUGGGAUCCCUCCAUACAAGCUGUUGCCUUGCAAAGAGAGGGUGGUGAGAUGGGAUAGAUUGGAUAUGUAUGGUGAGAUAACUCCCUGUAAGCGCAUGUUUAUGAGCUUGAUUGACUCUAUUGAUAUUUUGUUGGUUGAGCAUGGAUUUAUGACUUAUAACGCACACGUGGAGGGUUGAAUUUCAUGAAAGAAAAUGAGGGUCAGAAAAAUAAUAAAUGGCAAGACAUUGAGCUUAUUGUGGGUAUGAUUGGGUACAAAUUCUUUUGUAUAUAUCUACUUGGGGUAUACAAUUGAAUAUUUAAUUUAGGAAGAUUCAAAAAAUUGUUUUCAAUGAAAUUCAAUAAUAAUAAUAAUAAUAAUAACAAUUGCCUGGAAAUUUAUUUAUUUAAUAAACAUUGUUUUGUCAUCAAAGUUAAUUUUUAAUAAAAUUAUCUAAAAAAAUGAAUUUUUAAAUAAAAUUCUAUUUCCUUAAUUAAAAUGGGCUAAAAAGUAAUUUUUGCAAAUUAAUGUCUUAAAUAACCUUUUCAUAAUAAUAGAAUGAGAAUCUUUUUAGCAAAUUGAACUUAUACAAAUCAUUUUCUUUUUGUAAAUAAAGUUUGUAAAAAAAUUAUUUUCUUUAUAAAUAAAAUCAAAUUGAAAUAUUUUUACAACUAAAAGAAUAUUUAGUUGAGCAAGUGAUGAACUAUUUUCUUGUUUAAGUAACCUUUUGUAAUGUUCCCCCAGCAUAAUGGUAGUACAAUAAGAGGGUUUAUUAUGUACUUCUUUCUAUAUGGACUUUGGGUAUAAUAAAAACAAUGCUUUCUCUUUCUCUCUCUCUCUCUCUCCCCCUCAGUCCACAGGUUUAGACCCUUAGCUUUACCCUGCACUAAGUCUUGAAAGCCAAAGAUUAUGCAGAAUCAAACUCUUAAAGUCUACAGCAUGAGUUGAGGAAAAAAGGAUGAGUAUUUAACGUAGUAGUUGAGGAAUGAUUCAAUGUUUGAAAUAUAAAAAAUGCAAUCCAUUGAACACUUAGCUGGCCUAUCUGCUUAUUAUUGUAUACAUAAAACAUAGACUAAUCCGAAGACUUCUAUGUGAUAACUUUAGAAUUUUCAUAUCCAAGGUUUUCACUUCUUUCUCAUCAGAAGACAAAGAUUGUAACUGUUGCAGAAAACCUAACAACCUAGUUUAUUUGUUAAGGUCCCUUUCUCUCAUAAAACAUAAAUAUAUUCACUAUCAAACACCAUAAUGAUAAUAAUAAUUAAUGAUCUUCUUUUUGCUGUAUAUACACUACUUUAGAGUUUGUUCAAUGUUUGGUUACCAAGAAAACACAAGGACUGAUCUGCUGCAUUAAAAGGUUAAUAUGUAGUUCUUCCAUUAGCUAGCCAUUUGGAACUAAGUCUUGUGGAGAACUUUUCAUAUUGGAGAUGGAUAUGAAAUUGGACCUGCCUCCACCUCAUUGAACUUCACUUUCAACAUAUGCAUUGAGAAUAUUUAAGUUAAGAUCAGUAUACUAACUAACCCUACAUAAAUUAACAUGUAUUGGUGAAAACACUUAUCCUUGUAAGUGAGAAAGCAAAAAAAGAAAAAAAAAAAAAGAAAAAAGAGAGAGACCUACCCAUUGAAGACUGUCUAUAAAUUGACAUGUUUCUCAUGCAAAAAUUUUCACCCCUCGCCUAAACGCAAAGAUUUGUAAUUGUUUGGAGACAGUACUCUAACAAUGGAGAAAGGUGUUAGUUUCCUAGUAACUGUGGCCCUCAUGGCAUUGGCUUCAUCUUUUGCCUCUGCCUCUGAUCCAAGCCCACUGCAGGACACUUGCGUUGCCAGACCCAAGAAUGCUGGUAUUUCUUUAGUAACCAACGAACUUGUCUCUAUUUUCACUAAUCUUUCCAAUUCAAUAUUGGGCACAUUAAUGCAGUAGCCAUUGCUGGUCUGAGCAGCCAAAAUCCAGGUGUAAUCACCAUAGCCAAUGCAGUGUUUGGAUCAAAUCCACCCAUCAAUCCCGAUUUCCUGGCAACGGCCUUCCAGUUGGACAAGAAGGUGGUUGAAUUCCUUCAAGCACGAUUCUAGUGGGGAAAUAGAGAAAAUGAAGAAGCUAUGAACCUUUGGUUUUCUUGCUUGAAUGACUAUUUGUGAUGUUCAAUUACCUCAUUACAAUAAGAGGGGUUUAUUACUUUAUUUUGUAGCUCUUUUGGUGUGGAUUUUGAUCCUGAUAUUAAAAUAAAGCAGUUUGUCUGUUAGGCAUCUUCUUCUGUCUCCAUCUCAAUAUUUGUCUUAAAAAAUCUCAUCUUGUGAAAAAACAACUGGAUAACAACUCUCAGUUGAUUGAUUAACCUGCAUGUGCAGAAUGUUUAUUAAGAAGGAAUACUUAGCUAGUUGUAAAACAGUACUACUGUUACUUCCAGCAUAAGUGUCAUGAAAAUUGUGAAGAAAGAAUGGAAAUGAAAACCCAGAAAUCUUAUGACAUCUACUGUAGACAAAUUAAUGUCUUAAAUAAUCUUUUCAUAAUAAUAGAAUGAGAAUCUUUUUAGCAAAUUGAACUUAUACAAAUCAUUUUCUUUUCGUAAAUAAAGUUUGUAAAGAAAUUAUUUUCUUUAUAAAUAAAAUCAAAUUAAAAUAUUUUUGUAAAUAAACUAAAAAUUAAUGUCCUAAGUAAAAAUCAUUUUUAUUGUCAAAUUGGAAUUUUUUGAAUAAAUUCUAUCCAAAUAGAAUUGAAUCAAAUCAUUUAUUGGAAAUAAAUAAAUAAAUUAAAAUCUUGAAAAAGUAAUAUUUAAAAUAUCUUUUUGUAAUCAAUUUAAUAAAUCGGUUUGUAUAAUUCUAAUGUCAUUUAUUUUGUACAUUUUUGUAAUUUAAUUUUAUCAUUAUUUUCUUGUAUAUUAAUUUGUCUCUUUAAUCUUGAUAUUCAUGAUUGAUCAAUUAACUGUCAUAAUUCAUUUCGUUUGUUUAGUAAAUAUUGUUAGUAUACAUGCUUAGAGGAGUAUUACGACUUAUUACUGUACCUUCCUGAUAGGCAACCUGACCCUUGAAUAUAGACUUGAUUUUACAAACAUGUCUUUUCUAAAUGAGGAGUUACACAAAAUUUUCUUUCUUAUUUUGUUCUCUUUUAAAAAAUAAAUUAAAAUAAGUGGCAACCCUAAUUUUUUUAUAAAAAAAAAAAAAAAAUCAAAUUUUCACAAUAAAAAUGAGUCUCACUGUCGAGUGGGAACACACGCAAAAAAUACGGGUCAACAUGUAUCCAAUUGAUUGGGGUCAAUGUCAAGAUGUGUGAUAAAGAUGCAAAUUUGAAUAUGAAUCCUGCCAUUGAUUGAAUCUUGAACUACCCGAUAGUGGUUGUAACAAGUGAGAUAAGUUGCUAAGGUUUGCGUUGAAAAGUUCAGCCAUGGAAAGUUACUAGUCAUCCAAAUAUGUAUAUAAAUCAAAGUGCACAUUCUAAAUCAAAGAAAUCAGCCUCCUUAAGCAAAAGACCUUACAAUUCUUAGAGUAUGUUUGGUAGUAAUUUUAGGAAGUGUUUUUAACUUUUUUAAUAAUUGAAAAAUAAGAAUUUUGAAGUAUUAAAAAAUGUUAGAAACACUUCCUAAAAUCACUAUCAAACGCACUUUUAAUGUAAUUUGCUCUAUCUACCACUUGAUGUGGAUGUUAAGAUUGAUAUCCUUGGUCAUUGCCUAUAAUCCUAUAUCUAUAAUUGCAAGAAGACAUACAUUGAAACAUGAAUACCCUUUCACUAUGUUUGGUUUAUGGAAAAUACUAAGAAAAGAAAAUGUUUUUCUUAUAUUUAGUUUUAUUAUGAAAAAUAAGAAAAAAUAAAAUAUAAUUAUAAUUAAUUAAAAUUUUAUGUAUUUUAAAAUUAUUUAAUAUUUAUAUAAUGAAGGAAAAUAAAUGAAACGAGCUUGAAAAAGUAUAUAAAAAUAAUUUAUUAAUUAUAACUUGUAUGCGACUAUUUUGUACUUUAAUCCCGUUUUUCUUUUAUCCUCUUGUAGGUACCUUGAUUUUAUAUAUUUGUAUCUUUAUUCAAUGAUUUAGAUUUCAUAUAUUUGUAUCUUUAAUUGAGAUUGCAAGAUCUGUACGGAUUCAGAUUAGGGAUGGCAACGCUAUAAGCUUAAGAUAAGUUACUCAUAUCCCAAUCCAUUAUAUUUAUUCGUAUAUGUUAUCAUCCCCACCAAAAAAAGAAAUUAAAUGGGAUGGGACGGGUAUAGGAAAUUCUCAUGCCUACCCCAUGCUAUCCCGUUUUUUAUUUAUUUAUUUUUCAAUUUUUAUUUCUAAAAUUUUAAGAAAAUUAAUAUUUUAAAUAUGUUAAAAAAAUUGAAAACUGAAAAAAGAAAUCAAUUAAAAGAACUUUUUAUUUAACAUUAUACAUAAUUAGGCUGAGGUAGGAUGAAACAAACUCAUACCCAAAAUCACCCCGAAUCAAUCUCGGGUUUUAAAAAAUUUCUCAAAUUCAAGAUGAGACAAAAUCAUAUCCAAAACUAUCUCGAAUCCAUCCUAGAUUUUAAAAAUUUUCUCAAAUUUAUCUAAACUCGUUUAUCAUUAUCUCAAAACGAGCCCAUUAAGGGUAGGACGAGUACUAAAUAAAAUUGGUAUAUUAUCAUCCCUAAUCAAGAUCCUAAAAUUUUUCUUUAUGAUAAUGAAAACAACAAUCAUAGUCGUCAUCUCUCUAUCAGUUUACUUGUUAGGUUUGAUCAAAUACACCUUAUGUGUUGCCUUUGGGCAACCUAGCUCUCUCAAUCAUUGUCUAAAGUUCGGGUGUUUGUUUAUUUUUUUAAUUCAUUUUGUCUUAAGUUUUUUAUUAUUAAAUAAAAUUUCUUUUUGUUACUUUAAACACCUCUAAUAAUUAUACUUUUUAUUUUUUAUAUUUAUAUUUAUCAAGUUUAUAACUGUAAAAUUUAUAAAAAUGUUAGUUUUUUGUUUUUAAAAAUAAUAAAAAGUGAUAUUUAAAGGGUCAAGUGGGCCAGCAUGAUGGCACGAUGGGUUGUUUCCUUAGGCCCACCACGACCCGCUCCUUUGGGCCAUGCCGGCCUGACUCGGUCUUUUGGCGCACUUGGCCACAGGCCAAAAUGGGUGGCUCGACCCAUUGGACACCUCUAGUAGUUACAUGUCUAGCAUCCAAACGUUAGACCAGAUGAGUUUUGUCAAACCCAACCCAUUCAUCCCCUUUGCCUCAUGUUGGCCACCCGGUUCGGACCAGCCUUGACAUGAACGGCAAGGUCCAAUGGAUUAGGUUGAUUUAGGGUCUCGAUUAUUUUUGUUUAAAUAAAUUGCAAAGAAAAAAAAAACUUGGUUUGGAUAAAUAAAUUUCAAUUGUUUUUAAAAUAGGUUUUUAUUUUAUUUUUUGUAAAAUUUUUUAUAAAUUCAAUUUAUACAAUAUUAAUUAUAUGUAAUUGAAGUCUUAUUAAAGAUUUUUUAAAAAAUAGUUUUUAAAUUAAAGAUAAAUUAAAAAAAAUCAUAAAAUAUGAAAUUAAUAUUAUAAUAAAAUCAUAAAUUAUGGUUUUUAUUUAAAAUGAUACUAUUUUAAGAUAUGAUUUAUUUAUUUUUAUAAGAAUGAAUAAUACUAAUUUUAAAAUAAUAAAAGGGUGAUAUAUUUUAUUUGAAAUAAAUUUAAAAAUAAAUAAAUUUUAUUUUUUUAAUACGUAAAUAAGUCAUGUUUUUCAUUAUAUCUACACCCGAGAAUUUAAACUUGACCCAAACUUCAACUAAAAAGACCUAUAUCCAACACAGUUAUUAGAGGUGUCCAAUGGGUCGUGUCGGGCCAACACAAUCCGAUGUUUAUCAGGCCAAUGCGUUGGCUCGACCCAUGCAAGCCAAAUAGGUGGCUUGACAUGGCCCAUAAGCCCAUGUGCUAAUCAUGUCGUGUUGUGCCAUGCCGGUGAGUCGUGCCCCAUGGGCACACACUUUAUUAAAAAUUUUAAUUAAUUUUUUUUAAUUCAUUUUGACUUAAGUUUUUUUAUUAUUAAAUAAAAUUUCUUUUUGUUACUUUAAACACCUCUAAUAAUUAUACUUUUUUAUUUUUUAUACACUUCUAAUAAUUAUACUUUUUUUUUAUAUUUAUAUUUAUCAAGUUUAUAACUGUAAAAUUUAUAAAAAUGUUAGUUUUUUGUUUUUAAAAAUAAUAAAAAGUGAUAUUUAAAGGGUUAAGUGGGCCAGCAUGAUGGCACGAUGGGUUGUUUCCUUAGGCCCACCACGACCCGCUCCUUUGGGCCAUGCCAGCUUGACUCGGUCUUUUGGCGCACUAGGCCACAGGCUAAAAUGGGUGGCUCGACCCAUUGGACACCUCUAGUAGUUACAUGUCUAGCAUCCAAACGUUAGACCGGGUGAGUUUUGUCAAACCCAACCCAUUCAUCCCCUUUGCUUCAUGUUGGCCACUCGGUUCAGACAUUGGGUUGAUUUGGGGUCUCGGUUCUUUUUGUUUAAAUAAAUUGCAAAGAAAAAAAAAACUUGGUUUGGAUAAAUAAACUUCAGUUGUGUUUAAAAUAAGUUUUUAUUUGAUUUUUUGUAAAAAAAAUUAUAAAUUCAAUUUAUACAAUAUUAAUUAUAUUUAAUUGAAGUCUUAUUAAAGAUUUUUUUAAAAAUAGUUUUUAAAUUAAAGAUAAAUUAAAAAAAUUCGUAAAAUAUGAAAUUAAUAUUAUAAUAAAAUCAUAAAUUAUGAUUUUUAUUUAAAAUGAUACUAUUUUAAGAUAUGAUUGAUUUAUUUAUUUAUUUAUUUUGAUAAGAAUGAAUAAUACUAAUUUUAAAAUAAUAACAGGGUGAUAUUUUAUUUGAAAUAAAUUUAAAAAUAAAUAAAAUUUAUUUUUUUUAAUACGUAAAUAAGUGAAGUUUUUCAUUAUAUCUACACCUGAGAAUUUAAUCAAGGAUAUAGUAUUUUGAACUAGUUUUGAGUCAUUCCUAUAAGCUUCAUUCAGUCAUUAUGGUUUAGACAAUUGAUAAUUAAUCUGUUGGCAUAAUUGAUUCUGCAAAACAGUAUCCUGAAUUUAGUAUCGAGGGAGGCAGAAACACAGCGAGAGAGAGAGAGAGAGAGAGAUGAUGCUUAACAAACAGACUGCAGACUGCUUUAUUGUAGUAAUAUGCCCAAAGUCCACACUAGAAGAGUUACAACCAGACCCUCUUAUUAUACCAUGUUUGUUACAAUGAGGGAAUUGAACAUCAUGAAUCGUCAUUCAAGCAAGGAAAUCAAAGGUUGACAGCUUAUUCUUUUUCUAUAUUUCCCCACUAGAAUCGUGCUUGAAGGUAUUCAACCACCCUCUUGUCCAACUGGAAGGCCCUUGCCAGGAAAUCAGGAUUGAUGGGUGGAUUUGAUCCAAACAUUGAACUGGCUAUGGUGAUUACACCUGGAUUUUGGCUGUUAAAAACGGCAAUGGCUACUGCAUUAGUGUGCCCAAUGUUGACUUGGAAGUGAAUGAGACUGAAAGGGAACACAAAAACAUCCCCCUUGUUCAGGACUUUGCUAAUGAAGCGGUGUUCAGGGUUGGAUGUGAUAAAGCCAACAAAGAGUUUUCCCUCCAAGACAAUGAAGAUCUCACUGGCACGAGGGUGAAAGUGAGGAGGGUUUUGACCAUUAGGUUCAUAAUCGAUACGAGACAGUGACACCCCAAGAGUGUUUUCUCCUGGUAAUUGAUCAACAUUUAUAAGAUUGACAAUUGAGCCCACAUAAUUUGAUGUGUUUCCUGGAAUAUUCAGCCCUUGAUACAAGAAAUCCUCGGCCACGGUCAGGUUUGGGUUCUUGCAGAACUUCCCAUUUACAAAUACUGCAUGAAGAAGGAAAAAAGAAAAGAUGUAUCCUUAGUAUCAAACCAUACUCACCAUAUCAAUAAAAAGAGUAGUACUGAAAAUAGCUAUAACAUCAUUGGUUACAAUAGAAAUACCAGCAUUCUUGGGCUCAUCAACUGCAACACAGGUGUCUUCCAGUGGGCUUGGAUCAUAGGCAGAGGCAAGAAACGAAGCCAAUGCCAUGAGGGCCACAGUUACCAUGAAACUAACGCCUUUCUUUAUUGUUAGAGUACUGUCUCCAACAAUCCCAAUCUUUAUCUUUCGGCGGGGAUAAUAAAUUUAGCCUGGAAAAGAUGUUAAUUUAUAGACCAGAGUCGGUGAGUUAGUCUUUGCAUAAACUCACCAAGUCUUCAAUGGGAAGUUUUUUCUUCUUUCUUUUUUCACUUUCGAGGACAAGCGGUUGCACCAAUACGUGUUGAUUUACGUAGGAUUAGUCAGUGUAUAGAUCUUAACCAGAAUAUAAAGCAAUGUACAAUCAGGUGGAGGCAGGUCCAAUUUAAUAUCAAUCUGCAUGAUCCAUACGUUUACAUUUAUAGUAGAGCUUUCUGCUCUUUUAGUAGUGUAUAGACAAGCAAAUAGAAGAUUACAGAGUAGGUGCCAGCUUGGAGUAUACAAUGACCCGCCCAUAUCAAACAUGGUUACUCCAUGAGGCUUGUGUAGGUUCAGUUUAAUGAGUAUCUAUAUAGCUUAAUUCACCAUUCAAAGUGUUGAGAGAUUGGCUGAUGAGAUUAAAUAUGUAGCCAAGUUCUGAGUUUCUAGCUCAUGUGCCUUCCACUGAGUGAAAAGUCCUUGGAUAAGCUCUGGCUUUCUGCUAUACGCUCAUUAGGCUUUCCUCAGUUACAAAAGCUUUGACUAUGAUUUUUACGCUUGUAGCCUUCGCUGUCUGAGCGGUUUCUAAGACUUUUUAAUUAGUUGCUUCUAAGUUGUCUUUAACAAGCAAGUCCGUAUUUUCUGGCGAGAAGCAAGAAAAUACCAAUUGAUUAGAUGAAGUCCUUCGACUAAUCUAUGCCCUAUACGUAAGGUAAUUAAGCAGUUACACUUUCCAAAUCUUCAAUGGAUGUCAUUUUUCGAAUUGAAAGGUUGAACUUCCUCAAGUUAUGCUCUAGACUCUAGAAUGAAUUCUACAUAAUCUUCGGUUUUAGGCCUUAUUCCUAGUUUAAAGCUAAGAAGUAAACCAGUGGACAGACCAUCUGUAAUCAGAUUGUGAUUAGUGUCAUGACCCAUUAGAUCUUUAUAAGAAGUUGGCCAUGGUUCAAAGUCACGGUAUCCGUCACCAAAUCGGUAAGUCCCGAGGUACAUCAGUUUCAACGUCACGGAUCGAUAUCGGAUGAUACGCAAAAAUUUAUAGUUUAAAAGCUCAAAACAAUUUAAAAAGAUUACAAAAAUAAAUACAAAUAAAUAAAGUUAAAAAUUAAGAAAUAAAAUUUUAUUAUGUAUAAAAUUAUUCAAAUUAUGAUAAAACAUACCUUUGUAAUGAUUUAUAAAAAUAUUAAAACUAUAAAAAAAAUAAUUUAAUCACUUAAUAUUAAAUAUGCAUCAUUAAAGAUGAAAAUAAUAAAAAGUGAAUUUAUAGUUUAUAAUUUUUUUAAAAUUAAAUAUUUUGAAUUUUUUAAAAAUAUUUUCAAUAUUUAAAAAAAUACAUCUAGGAAUCAUCUUUGAAAAAAAUAAACAUCAUUUUUCUUAUCAAAUGUAUUCUAAAUAAAACAAUUAUAAAAAUAAAGAAUUUUUAUUUGAAUGAGCAUAUUUGAAUAUAAUAUAUUUUUUCUAUACAUCUAUUCAUUUGAAUUGAAUUUUUAUAUUAAUAUUCAUUUCCUUUUUUAUUCAUGUAAACCUAAAUAUUCAUUAUUAAUGUACCAUAAUCCUAAUUCCCAUCAAAUUUGCAUUAUCCAUUUAAAUACAAUUAUUCACAACAUAUUCAUUAACUACUUAAAAAACAAAUACCCACCCAAAUUUGUAAUCCUAUCAAAUACCCAUAACCCAUUGGCAAACACGUAUUUCCUUUUUUUGGCACAAUACCCAUUUUCUCUCUAAAACAACACUUUGAGCUCUCUAUUUCUUUGCACAAUACCUAUAUUUGAAGGCUAAAAAAAUAGGCCUACAAAGAUACAAAAGGAUGGAGCUAGAAAUACAAGGAUGAAGAUGCACAAGGUUUGAAGACUCUAUACUCUCCACACUUCUUCACUUUCAUAUGUUUCCAUCAUCUUCUUUCAUCCACUAUUUUCGCUCCUAUAUUACCAUUUUUUCCCAUCACCCAUCACCCGAAGAGCUUAGUUUGAAUAUAAUCUUGGGGUUAUCUCAAAGUUUCUUUGUGAUUCAACAAGUUUUUUCAUGAGUCAACCAAAUAUUAGACUCAGGUAUCGGUUCAGUACUAGUCAUGGACAAGAUUUUAACCCUGUUUGAGCUCUCUAUUUCUUUGUACAAUACCAAUUUUUAAAGGCUCACAAAAUAACCCUAUGAAAAUACAAGAGGAUAGAGAUGCAAAUACAGGGAUGAAGAUGCAAAAGGUUUGAAGACUUUGAACUCUCCAUAUUCUUCGGUUUCAUGGGUUUCAAUCUUCUUCUCUCAUCAACUAUUUCUGCUCCAAUAUUACCAUUUUUUUCCAUCACCCAUGACCUGAAGAGCUUAGCUUGGACAUAAUCUUAGGGAUAUCUCAAAGUUUCUUUGUGAUUUAACAAGUUUAUUCAUGAUUCAACCAAAUAUUGGACUCGGAUAUCGGUCCGAUACCGAUCAUGGCUGAGGCAUAUAUGAAUCGGUUGAGUCGUACCGGUCUCGACCGAGAUUUUGAACCUUGUUUGAGCUUUCUAUUUCUUUGCACAAUACUAAUUUUUGAAGCCUUAUAAAAUAGCCCUACGAAGAUAUAAGAGGAUGAAGAUGCAAAUACAAGGAUGAAUAUGCAAAGGGUUUGAAGACUUUGAACUCUCCAUACUUCUUCACUACCAUAGGUUUCAAUCUUCUUCUCUCAUCCACCAUUUCCAUUCCAAUAUUACCAUUUUUUUUUCCAUCACCCAUCACUCAAAGAGCUUAGUUUGGACAUAAUCUUGGGGUUAUCUCAAAGUUUCUUUAUGAUUCAACAAGUUUAGUCAUGAGUCAACUAAAUAUUGGACUUGGGUAUCAGUCUGAUACUAGUCAUGACCAAGAUUUUGAACCCUUUUUGAGCUCUCUAUUUCUCUACAUAAUACCCAUUUUUGAAUGCUCACAAAAUAACCCUACAAAGAUACAAGAUGAUAGAGAUGCAAAUACAAGGAUGAAGAUGCAAAGGGUUUGAAGACUCUAAACUCUCCAUACUUCUUCACUUUCAUAGGUUUCGAUCUUCUUCUCUCAUCCGCCAUUUCAACUCCAAUAUUACCAUUUUUUUCCAUGACCUAUCACUCGAAGAGCUUAUUUUGGACAUAAUCUUGGGGUUAUCUCAAAGUUUCUUUUUUAUUCAACAAGUUUAUUCAUGAGUCAACCAAAUAUUGGACUUGAGUAUUAGUUCGGUACUGGUCAUGGCCGAGGUGGAUAUGACUUGGCCAAGUCAUACUGGUCUCAAUCGAGAUUUUGAACCCUAUUUGAACUCUCUAUUUCUUUGCACAGUACCCAUUUUUUAAGGCUAACAAAUUAGCCCUACGAAGAUAUAAGAGGAUUGAGAUGCAAAUAAAGAAAUGAAGAUGCAAAGGGUUUGAAGACUCUAAACUCUUCAUACUUUUUCACUUUCAUGGGUUUCAAUCGUCUUAUCUCAUCCACCAUUUUCGCUCCAAUAUUACAAUUUUUUUCCAUCACCCAUCACCCAAAAAGCUUAGUUUGAACAUAAUCUUGGAGUUAUCUCAAAGUUUAUUUUUUAUUCAACAAGUUUAUUCAUGAGUAAACCAAAUAUUGGACUCAAGUAUCAAUUCAAUAUCAAUCAUGGUUGAGGCGGAUAUGACUCGAACAAGUUGUACUUGUCUCAACCGAGAUUAUGAACCCUAUUUGAGCUCUCUAUUUAUCUCUACAAUACCCAUUUUUGAAGGCUUACAAAAUAGUCCUACGAAGAUACAAGAUGAUGGAGAUGCAAAUACAAGGAUGAAAAUCCAAAGAGUUUGAAGACUCUGAACUCUCCAUAUUUUUUCACUUUCAUGAGUUUUGAUUUUCUUCUCUUAUCUGCCAUUUCCGCUCCAAUAUUACCAUUUUUUCCAUUACCCAUCACUUGAAGAGCUUAGUUUGGACAUAAUAUUAAGGUUAUCUCAAAUUUUCUUUGUGAUUCAACAAGUUUAUUCAUAAGUCAGCCAAAUAUUGGACUUGGGUAUCUGUUCGAUACUAGUCAUAUAUGGUAGAGGCGGAUAUGACUCAACCAAGUUGUACUAGUCUCAACUAAGAUUUUGAACCCUAUUUGAGCUCUCUAUUUCUCUGUACAAUACCCAUUUUAAAGGCUCACAAAAUAGCCCUACCAAGAUACAAGAUAAUGAAGAUGCAAAUAUUACUCAUUGAAUAUCUAGCAAUAAUUGGUUUAUUUUUUAUUUUUGAAUUAUUUUUUAAAAUUAAAUAUCUAUUAAUGAAACAAAAAUACUAAUGAUUAAUACCAAAAAGUGCUAUUUUGUAGAUCUAAUUAUAAUGGUUUUAAGCACCUUUGAGUAGUAAUCAUAUUCAUUUAACCCAAUUAAUUCAUUAAGGUCCUUAGUAAUUGGUUUUAACCAUUUUGUGGCAAGUUUACAUGUUUUUAUCAGCUUAUGAAUCAAUUCAAGCAUGCCAAAUGAUGGAGGAGCUACUUAGACAAGUUAAAGCAAGGAUUUUGGAAGUUUACAGGCUUGAAUUUCAAGUGGAAACACGAGCACAAGCAAUGGAGAAGAGGAAAACAGAGUGAAGAAAACAGAGGACAGCAGCUGCAGUCUUCUUUUGCACUUUUGGAGCACUUCCCGAAGUCCAUUUUCUACAUUCUAUAUACCAUUUCAAAGCUCAGGAAGUCAAUAAUCCAAUGCUUCAAACGGUGCGUGAUUCGGAGUUGAAACGAAGGAGUUACAGCCAUUGCAAUCAGAUCACUCCAAGCUGCUGCGAAAUCAGCCUUUUGUUGCGAGAAUUUCGCAGCCUUUUUGUACAGUGCAAUGGAAUUCCUCCUGAAGCUACCCGAUAUAUGCUGCAAGCUGGAAUGCUGAGAACCUCAAGGUGGAAGCCAACUUCGCAGCCCUGCGAAGAUAGCUUGGUGUUGCGAAAUUAUUUCGCAACCCUCUUGAGUGUCUGCGAAAUCUCGCAGACCUCGUUUUCACCUGCGAAAUGUCCUUAGUGCUUCCUGAUAUUUGUGCACCGACUCUUUUGGAUAUUUUUCUUCAGAUAUUUUUGUAUAAAUUUCCAUUUUCUCCUUGUUUUCAGCCACUCAUGUAAUUCCUUAGCUAGGAAGUNNNNNNNNNNNNNNNNNNNNNNNNNNNNNNNNNNNNNNNNNNNNNNNNNNNNNNNNNNNNNNNNNNNNNNNNNNNNNNNNNNNNNNNNNNNNNNNNNNNNGAGAGAGAUUUAGUGUUUGAACCCAUUAAUGGGAAGCAUCUGUACAACACCGGUUGGAGAAGGAACUAUAGGUUAAUUCUCUAAGGCGAGGAAAAAAAACAAGUGACCGGAACUCCCUUUUUGUAUGAGGAACCUGAGCCUAGUGAUCUGAACUCCAAGAAACACUUUUCUUUGUAAGUAAAAUCAGUUACUAUUUUUGGUUAGCUUAAAACCAAACCUUUUUCAUUCAAACAUCUUUAUGUUUUCUUAAGCUAACCUUGAAAUGAAAAGGCACCAAUUCAGCUUUGAAUUAAUAUCAUUUGUGAAGUGAAAACCCAUCCCAGUGGACGAUCCUAGAGCCACUAUGCUAUAGUAGCUUUGUCUUUGCUACCCUAGUAUAUGGUGUAAUAGGUUAUAAAUUUUGUUGAUUACUCCCUCAAUCAAGGAGCACCAGCUGGACACGAAUCAGCUGAGACACCAAUUGGGCACGAAUCAACUAACUCUUUCUUGAUUUUCUUCUCUCAUCCACCAUAUCCGCUCCAAUAUUGCCAUUUUUUCCAUCACCCAUCACCCUAAGAGCUUAGUUUGGAUAUAAUCUUAGGGUUAUCUCAAAGUUUCUUUUUUAUUCAACAAGUUUAUUCAUGAGUUAACCAAAUAUUGGACUCGGGUAUUAGUUCGGUACCGGUCAUGGCCAAGGUGAAUAUGACUUGGCCGAGUCAUACCAGUCUCAAUUGAGAUUUUGAACCUUGUUUGAACUCUCUAUUUCUUUGCACAAUACCCAUUUUUUAAGGCUAACAAAAUACCCUAACAAAGAUACAAGAGGAUUGAGAUGCAAAUAUAGGAAUGAAGAUGAAAAGGGUUUGAAGAGUCUAAACUCUUCAUACUUUUCCACUUUCAUGGGUUUCAAUCUUCUUCUCUCAUCCACCAUUUUUGCUCUGGUAUUACUAUUUUUUUUCCAUCACCCAUCAUCCAAAAAGCUUAGUUUGGACAUAAUCUUGGAGUUAUCUCAAAGUUUCUUUUUUUAUUCAACAAAUUUAUUCAUGAGUCAACCAAAUAUUGGACUAGAGUAUCGAUCCGAUACUGAUAAUGGCUGAGGCGGAUAUGACACGAUCAAGUCGUACGAGUCUUAACCGAGAUUAUGAACCCUGUUUGAGUUCUCUAUUUCUAUACACAAUACCCAUAUUUGAAGGCUCACAAAAUAGUCCUACGAAGAUACAAGAUGAUGGAGAUGCAAACACAUGGAUGAAAAUCCAAAGCGUUUGAAGGCUCUGAACUCUCCAUAUUUCUUCGCUUUCAUGGGUUUCGAUCUUUUUCUCUCAUCCACCAUUUUCGCUCCAAUAUUACCAUUUUUUCCAUUACCCAUCACGCAAAGAGCUUAGUUUGGACAUAAUAUUAUGGUUAUCUCAAAUUUUCUUCAUGAUNNNNNNNNNNNNNNNNNNNNNNNNNNNNNNNNNNNNNNNNNNNNNNNNNNNNNNNNNNNNNNNNNNNNNNNNNNNNNNNNNNNNNNNNNNNNNNNNNNNNAAGAGCUUAGUUUGGACAUAAUAUUAUGGUUAUCUCAAAUUUUCUUCAUGAUUCAACAAAUUUAUUCACAAGUCAACCAAAUAUUGGACUUGGGUAUCAGUCCGAUACUAGUCAUGGUGGAGGCAGAUAUGACUCGGUUGAGUCGUACCAAUCUCGACUAAGAUUGUGAACCCUGUUUGAACUCUCUAUUUCUUUGUACAAUAUCCAUUUUGAAGGCUCACAAAAUAGCCCUACCAAGAUACAAGACGAUGGGGAUGCAAAUAUUACUCCUUGAAUUACUGGCAAUAAUUAGUUUAUUUUUUUAAUUUUGAACUAUUUUUUAAAAUUAAAUAUUUGUUAAUGAAACAAAAGCACUAACUCUUUCUUGAUUUGGAGUUUAUUUGUUGAAUGAAAAUUUUUGGAUAAUUAUGGUUUUGCGCAUAAGAGAAAUAAUGAACCAAUUGUUGUUCAUAAAUUCAUAAAAUUGGAUUAGCAUUUGAGUUUCAAAUUAUUUUUAAAAGUGCUUACAUUCAUUAAUGAAUCUAAUACACUAAGUUCCUCUUUGGGAUGAAUUUUGAAUGAGGCUAAAAGCUUUUCCUAACACUAGAAAGCAAUCUUAAAAAAAUGGUUGAAAAUCACUUUUAAAAAUCUAAAUAAUGACAUGAUUCUUCGAACUAUCACAUUUUUGUUAUAUUAUACAUUGCCAAAACAUUCUCUGAACAUAUUUUAAAAAAAAUUUAUAAUAUGCAUUUCCUACAAAGCAAUCUUAAAAAUAUAUAUAUAUAUAUAUCAUCAAUAAUUAGAUUAUGGUGUGAUAGUGAUUUUAGCAAUUGUUUUUAGCCUUUUUAAUACUUUAAAAAUAACAGCAGUGAAUUUAGGAAACGUUUCUAGCUUUUUUAACGCUUGAAUGAUAUAAAUUUUCAAGUAUUAGAAAAGUUAAAAAUGUUUCCUAAAAUCACUACUAAACAGGCUUUAAUCAGUAGUAGUAAUUAAUUGGUAUUGAAUAACUGUAAUGCAGUUUCCUGAAUGUAGUAUUGAGGGAGAGAGAAACAGAGAGGAAGAGAGAGAUGCUUAACAAACAAAUUGCUUUAUUGUAGUAAUAUGCCCAAAGUUCACACCAGAAGAGUUACAACUAGACCCUCUUAUCAUACUAGGAUUGUUAUAACGAGGGAAUUGAACAUCAUAAAUAGUCAUUCAAGCAAGGAAAUGAAAGGUUGAUAGCUUCUUCUUUUUCUAUAUUCCCCCACUAGAAUCGUGCUUGAAGGUAUUCAACCACCUUCUUGUCCAACUGGAAGGCCCUUGCAAGGAAAUCAGGAUUGAUGGGUGGAUUUGAUCCAAACA
Molecule: long non-coding RNA, 45084 nt
Filed under: Vitis vinifera (wine grape)
Lineage: Eukaryota; Viridiplantae; Streptophyta; Magnoliopsida; Vitales; Vitaceae
Description: long non-coding RNA (VVIN_LNC004463)
Source: RNAcentral